UUUUAAACCCUGUUGUUAUCUACAAGGCCAAACAUAAAAUAUCAAAGCUAUUGUAUAAGAAAGACCACACAUAUAUUAUCUAGAAUGACUCAAUCAUAGCAGAGGAAAAACAAAACAUGAUAGCUACCAUAUGGGGGAUAUAGAUUAGAAUGGCUCUAUCAUUGUCAAUUCAACUCAAUGGAAUAUGCUCUAUUGGAAAGUUAUAUAAUACAAGUCUCACUCUGCAGGGUCCCACUGCUUGGAUUUACUCCCGGCGGCUUCAACUGAUCCGGAAUGGUUGGUGAUGCAGAGAAAGGCCGAGGUUGAGAUCAUUGAAGGUUGGAUCGCUCAGUACUAUGUCGAUCUUCAUGCCAUAACAAAAUAAAACGAACCCUGCUUAAUCAUUGUAAGAAGUAAGAACUAAUGGUGUUAUCAUAUUUGGAGAGAUCAAAAGAAGUGGUUCCUUUGCAAUGGGAUAUGUUGCGGGUGCUAUUUGAAUUGGAAUUGAUAAUACAAACAGGAGAAAUAUUUGAUGUUGGCUCACAUUGUUGGUGGUGUUGUGGGUACCAAUUUAGGCCCACCUCUAAUAAAUGUUUAAGUUGUGAAGGCAAAAGAAAGAAAUUGCUCCCGAAUUUGACAGUAUGAGGGAAAGGGGAAACGAUUUGAAAGCUUCCAGUGGAAGAAGAUGAGCUUUACUUAGCCCUAUCUGCUUUGUCGGCUACAGGGAUUGUAUUAGCUAAGCCGUAAUUCCACAAGAAUGCAUAUUAGACCUUGUUUGGACAGCAUUUUUACUUAUUUAUUUAUUUAUUUUUAUUUUUUUUCAAUUGGAGCCCAAAGUUGAAGCCACUGUUAUAAUUUUUAGAUGGUAAUAUUGGUUAUAAACAUUAGAUUAAAUAUUAAAUAAUUUUUUGUACAGGUCAAAACACUAGUUUUAAUUAUAUGUUCUUCACUUUCAUAUUAAACUCUUUUUUAAGUUAUAAAUUUUUUGAGCAAAAUUUACCAAUUUGCAUAGAAUUAAGUUUAAAAAAUAGGUUUUUGACUUCUUAGAAGUAGAUCCAAAUAAGACCUAAGUCCAUUUGGUUUUAGAAGGUUAAAAGCAUGUUUUUUUCCCCAAAAGUUAGCAUUGGAUAAAAUUUUAAAAUCAAGGAGCACUUAGUAAUCAUUUUUUUUAAAUCAUUUAUUUAUUUAUUUUAUAUCUCAUCAUAAAAACACUUUUUAAAUAAUUAAAAGUAUUUAUGAUUAAAAACAUUUUCAAUAGAAGUAUUACAAGCAAAAAAUUCUUUGACGAGGAUGAUAAAAUUAUAUUCUCUGAGGAAAUGAGACAAUUGUGUUUUAGACCUAGUUGGGUCUACAAAUUAAGUUUUGAUUCAUAUAAGUUUACUAUUUAAGUCCAAAACUUAGAGGAAAUGUGAAAAUUGAGAAGAAUGAUAUGAAUUUUUUAUCUUUUCAAAAAUGAUAUUUAUUGACUAUUAAAAAAAAAGGUAGAAAAAUAUUAAUUUAAAUUUUAUUCCUUUUGCAAAUUCCAAUAAAAUUUAAUAUAAUUUAGAGAUUUGGAAAAAAAAUACACCCUUUUCCAAAAAAAUAAAAAUAAAUUAUUAUUAUUUAAAAAUCAAACACCUUGGAAAAUAUAUAUAUUUAAAAUUAUGUAUAUAAAAAAUAACUAAAAAUAUGUCAAAUUUAUUUUUUAAAAAUAAUAUAUUUUUUUAAAAAAAUUAGUUUUAUAAAAAUAAUAAAAUUUUAGAAUAAUUAUUAAAAAAAAUUAAGAUAAAAAAGUUUAUCAAACAUUAUGGUAGAAAAUAGUUUUGAAGGGUAUAUUGGUCUCUUCAUAUUUUAUAUCAUUCUCAUCAAUUAUACAACUUUCAUGAGUCAAAUCUUAAUUUUUGGGCCAAGUUGGGUCCAAAAGACAAUUGUCCUAAGGAAAUUUCAUGCUACCUUGAGAGAGAGUGUUUUGACUAUUAAAUUAUGUUGUUGGUGCAUAAGGUGGAGGAGACUUGCAACAAAGAUAAAUCUUAUCCUCGUGCUAAAACAAAAAGGUUAUUAAAUUUAAUAAAUUAUUUUUAUAUAUUACUUUAAGUCAAUUUAAUUAAUUUUAAUUUUUUUAUAUAUAAAUAUUAAAUUUAGUAUUUUUUUUUCCUUAUUGCUUUCUGAGACCAACACUUAAACAAUCUAACAAGUUUUGGGUAUGUCAUGUCAAGGGAGUAUGUAAAUUUUUUAUAAUAGUAUGAUGCAUUAAAAAAAUAAUAAUUUGUAAAAUAUAGUAGUAAAAAUAAUAUUUUCAAAACUAUCAUAGUUUCAACACAUAAGAAAGAGACCAUGAUAAAAUCUAUCCGGAAACUUCAAAUUAAUAAAAAAUAGUCUAUUAUUUCUUUUUCUUUUAAAAAAAAAUGCAAAAAUUGUCUAAUCAAGAGGGGAUUUCUAAAAAAAUAAAAAUUAAAAACUAAAAUCGUUUCUUGAAGAGACGAUUUCUUAAAAACAAGAAAAUUAUAUCAAUACAAGAAUCAUCUCUCCAAAAGACUAUUUCUAAAAAAUAUUGUUAAAAAAUUCUCCAAAGAGAUGAUUUCUCACAAAAAAAAAAAAAAAAAUUGAUUUCAAUUUUCUUGAAAAAAAUACAAAUUUUCAUCUCUCAUAUAUUUAAAUUUUUUUAAUAAUAGAUGUAGUAUAAAAUUAAUUGAUUUUAUAUAAAACUAAUUAUAAUUUUUGUGGAUAUAUUACUUGUAGAUAAAAAUAUUUAUAAAAGUAUAAACUAGGUUACAUAGUGAAUUAAAUAUUUAUUAAUAAAAUAUUUUGAUAAAAAUAAAAACUAAUUUAAUUUUAUACUCUUUUGUUCUUUCUACAAUACAUAAUGAAUAUUUUGAUUUGAAAACUUUAUUUAUUACUUUAUUACUCCUUUCAUUUUCACAUUACUUUUUAAUAUUUUUUUAAUUAAUUGGAUCACAAUUAUUUUUGCUCAAGUUAGAAUCUUGAGGAUAAAUAAAUUUUAAUUUUUUUAUAAGUGAUCAUGUUAAAUUUUUCUUAACUUAAAUUAUAUUAUAUUUAACUUGUAACAAAAAAUGUUUGAAAGUUUUUUUAAAAAUAAAAAUUUUAAAUUAAAUUAUGGAUUUGAUUUUAUUUGAGUUUUUAAAAAAAAUAUAUAUAUUAGGAAUUUUAGUUUAUUUCAGUUUUUAAAAAAUAAAUCAAUAUUUGUAAAUUGUAUUUAAGCAUUAGACAUAACUUUUAAAAUAUAUAUUUAUUUGUAAAUUAUUACAUAACUUUUAACAUGUAAAGAAUAUACAUUUAUUAUUAAAUUGUUUGAACGUUAGAUACAAUUUUUAACAUUUAGAAUAUAUUUAUUUUUAAUAAAUAAAAAAUUCAUUUAAAAAAUUUUAAAAUUACAAAAUCUAUUAGAUAUUAGAAAAUAUUAUUAUUAUUUUUUAAAGAGAAAAUUAGAAAAGGAAGAAAAAAUUAUCCUUUCAAUUAAAGUUUAAUUUCUUAUCUAUCAACUGAUUUGUAAAGAUAUAAAAAAAAUCAGAAAAUUAAAAUGUGAUUAUUGAUUUUUAAAAUAAAAUUUCAAAUUAAAUGAAGAUUAUUAUGAACAAAUAUCUAUUUUAUAGUAAACUUAAAUUUUUAUUGCAAACAUAUAGUUUAAAAUUAUAUAAUUUUUUUUAAAAAAAAAUUGACAUGUUAUAUUUUUUAAAUAGUUAUACAACUUAGAGUGUGUUUGACAUUGUUUCUAGGAAAUGUUUAUAACCUUUAUAACAUUUGAAUAAUAAAAAAUUACAAAUAUUAAAAUUUUUUAAAAUACAUUCUAAAAUCACUAAACAUAUUAUUAUUAUUAUCAUCUUAUUAAAACGAUGAAAAAUGUUAUAUAAAGAAUAUCUUGAUCAUAUUUUAUGGUUCCUUCCAAGCUUAUAAUUCUUUGUAUCAUGAUAAUGUUUUAUUUCUCCUUAAAAUGCAGUAACAAGUUAAAUAUGGCAUAAAUUAAUUUAAGAAAUAACAAAAAUAAACAUAAAUUUAUCCUCAAAGUUUUAAAAUUGAGUGAAAAUAAAUAUGAUUUAAUUAAAAAUAUUAUUUUUUUAAAAAAGGAUAUUAAGAAGUAAUGUCAAAGUGAAAUGAGGAAGAAAGGUAUUAAAUCAAAAUUUGAAAUUAAAUUUAUUUUUAUCCUAAAAAUAACAAAAAGAAUAAAACAAUUUUUUUAAUUGUAAAAAUAAUUAAUUAGAAUAAUUUAAAGAAAAAAGGAUCAAAAUAUAUUUUCAAUAAAUAUCAAGUUGAAUAUAAAAUAGUAUUAUUUUAGUGCAUCUAUAAUCAACAUAAUUUAUAUUUUUAUAAAUGUUAUUAUUUAGAAAUAAUACAUUAAAUAAUUAAUUGAUAAUAUUACUAUUUAUAAAUAAUAUAACCAUGUUAAUUAAUAAUUAUUUUUACAUAUUGAAUUUGGUAUAUAAAAUUAAUUAAUUUUAUAAUAAUAAUAAUAAUAAUAAUAAUAAUAAUAAUAAAUAAAUAAUGAUAUUUUUGAAAUGUUCCAUAUAUGAAAAUAAAAAUAGCCGAUGUUGUAUUUUUAAUAAGUUUUAAUCAAUAUUUUUUAUAAUAUAUUGAGUUGGAAAAAUUAUGAAUUUGUAAUAAAGGAAAUGGGGUCACUAGGAAAUCCGACAUGAUUUUGGUCAAAUCAAUAAUUGAUUGAUUUGCAUAGAGCCAGACCAUCCAUUCAAGCGGUUUGACCAUCCAACCUUUGAACGGUCCAAUUUGUAGGAUUAGACCAAAAUUGGACCAAGAUCCAACCAAUCCAACCAUUGAUGGUCCAAUUCGUUGGACCGGAUCGAAGAAGCCAUCGAUGGUUAGACCAACUGAUUUUUAAAAUAUCAAACAUAAUUUCACAAUAUUUCCUUUAAUCAUGGACCACGCCUUGGUGGGGUCUCCAUUUCUAUUGUUUUUAAAUUGUCGGGCUGAUGGUAUGUGUCCAUUAUUUUCAUUUUAUAAAAAUAAAAUAUAAAAUUAUUUUUUCUUUAAAGUGGCCAGUUAUUAUUAUGAUUUUCACGUUUUCCAUUUUGGGGCUGCGGUCAUGUAAAAAAUUUGUAUAGGGAAAGCAAGGAAGCACUUGUGGAAGAAAGGGCUUCUCAAUUAUGAAAGCAAGAAAAACGUUUUGCCCAUGUGGACCACUUAAAUAAUACUCAAUCCAUACGAUUCAGUAUUACUGCGACUUGAAAUAGGGACAAGCCACAUGGCUAUGGGCCAUGCCGCGCCUUUCAUUAUUCUAGAGUUAGAAAUAUGAAAAUUACAUUAAUUACCUGUCACAUUCUCCCAAUGGAAAAGUGUUUGGAGGUUAAGAAAAUCAAUGAGAAUCAAGAAAUACAUUGAUUGAUAAACAGAGUUUGCUUUCUGUCCAUGGAGAAGCAACUGAUGUCUACCUACAAUGUAUUUUGGUAUGUAAGACUAUUUGUUUGGCGAUGAAUUACUUUUUCACCUAAAAAGUGUUUUUGAAAAAAAAAAAAGUCUUUCAUGAAAAAUUACUUAUAUUAUUUUUUGGAGAAAUACUUAGAAUAUGUUUUAUAGUGAUGCUAGACAUCGUUUUUAAUAUUUUUAAUACUUAAAAUUUUUUAUCAUUUAAAUGUUAAAAAUGUUAAAAAUACUUUCUAGAAUCACCCCAAACGCACUUUUAGAAUGCAUUUGACAGUAAUUUUAAAAAAAGUUUAUAUUCUUUCUAACACUUGAAUGAUAAAAGUUUUUAAAAGUGUGUUUGAUAAUGAUUUUUAAAAGUGUUUUUAGUUUUUUUAAUACUUGAAAAUAAAAAUUUUGAAGUGUUAAAAAUGUUAAAAAUGUUUUCUAAAAUCACUAUUAAAUGAACUCUAACUAUUAAAAAUAUUGGAAAUAUGUCCUAAAAUCACUUCCAAACGGGCUCUUAAUAAGCAAUUAUCUUAAAAACACUUUUUAAAGAAUAUUUCUAUUUAAAACAUUUCAAAUAAAAAUAAUAUCAAACACACUUUAAAAAUAUAUUUGAUGACAUUUACUUCUAAGUGUUUUUAAAUAAAAGUAAUAAAAAAGUGUUUUUAAGAGACUUGCGUAUGUGUUUUUUCACGAAACAUUGGAAAUGAUUUUAAAAUUUUGUUAAACACUAUAUUUUUUUUCUCAAAAACAUUUUUUAAAUUAAAUGUGAUUUUUAAAAAUAUUGUUAAAUAGACUUUAAAAAAUUUAUUUUAUAAUGAUUUUUGCUUGUGUUUCUAACAUUUUUAGCACUUUGAAAACAAUUCUUUUAAUAAAAAAAUUUUAAGUAUUAAAAAGCUCAUAAACACUUCGUAAACUUACUAUUAAAUGAAUUCCAAAUUAAACUUUAAGAAGUAAUGAUACGACCUGUUAUAAAAUGAGGACCAUAGAAUUAUCGUCGUUGGAGGAUCCUAUGGGGGCAGUGAGUUACCAUACCAUGUACUUAAUCUCAAUAUUGUUUAAUUUUCAUAACAGAGUCCUUGAACUUCGUUUGUCUCUUUUCCUAAUUCAGUGCUUGCUUCAUGGCUCCGGCUGAAGUAUCCCCACGUUGCCCUUGGAGCUCUGGCCUCAUCUGCUCCCAUACUUUAUUUUGAUGACAUUACACCCCAGAAUGUAUACUAUUCCAUUGUCAGCAAGGAUUUCAGACUGAUAAUCACUCAAAUUUCUAUCUUUUCUUUUUUCCACCAUACACAUUGGACUAACAAAAAAAAAAUAAAAAUUGAAGUUGAUAUGAAUGGGCUGUUGUCAAUUGCAGGAAGCCAGUGAGAUUUGCUACAACACCAUUCGAGAAUCAUGGUCUGAAAUCGAUAAAGUAGCUUCUGAGCCCGAUGGUCUUUCAAUUCUUAGCAAGAAAUUCAGAACUUGCACGUAAAUAACUUAUCUUCAUCUCCUUGUUCUAAAUCAUAUAUGCAAAAGCUACGACUUGAUUGCAGACUCAUUGAUUUUCUUUUUCAGUGAGUUGAGCACAUCUGAUGAGCUGAAGGACUACUUGGACGAAACAUAUUCUGUUGCAGCACAAUAUAAUCAUCCACCAAGGUACCCCGUCACUGUGGUGUGUGGUGGCAUUGAUGGUGCACCAGAAGGAAGCGAUAAAUAGGUCUUGUUAUGACACAAGUUCUAAUCCAACUGAAACAAGUGAGGGAUGGAGAUGGCAGGUAAACUACACAUACUACUAUGAGAACAAAUACCAAGUAUAAUCAUAUGGCUAUCAGUAGCAUUUACAUUACAUAUGCUUUGGACUUGGAGGCAACAAAAUUAGAAAUUAGGAAAAAUAAAUGAUGUCCCAUCGUGUUAAGUACAUCAUCUUCCUUCCCUCUGUGUGUAGACAUGCAGUGAGAUAAAUGGUAAUACCAAUAGGCCACAGUUGUUGGGUUUUUCCUCAUGUGAAAGGCCAAAAUUAAGAGCCCAAAUUUAAGGCCUCUUAAGCCUUUAUAUAAAAGAGUUAGAAGAAGAAUUCAUCUUCUUCUUCUUCUUCCAAUUUUAUUUUUUUUUGGAGCCAUCGGAGGUAAAAGAAAAAAAGAGUAGAAUGAGAAAAGAGAGAGAAGGGGAGAACCACCAUUUUUGAAGUUAAAGAGAAAAACUCAGUUUUUCUUCACUAUUCAGAUUUCAUAAAAGGUCCGAUCCCGCUUCGUCUGUGGGCCGAUCGACCUGAAAUUUGGAGGAGAGGUUCGUGACUCAUUGAUCUUAAAUAAGUGGAGAUCGGAUUUAGAGUUCCGGACGACCGUCUUUCAGUCCGAGAACAAAGCCUCUGUUUUGGUGAGUUUUCUAUCCGGACAGUUUUGAUCAUGAGCUUCGAUCAAGGUUAAUAUGUGGUUCGAUUGAGCUGAUUUUUGGUGAGCACAUUCAAAACUCAUUGAUCUUCAUUCUAACGGUGGAGAUUGGAUUUGGAGUUCGGAAUGGUUAUAUUUCAGUCAGAGAACAGUGGUUGUGUUUGGUAAGAUUUCUCCAUUGUUUUUAUGCAAAGUUGUUAAAAUUGCCAAGAUUAAUUUGUUUUGAGAUAUGGUUGAUGUAUGCCUCUAGUUUUAUCUAGAGAGAAUUAUGUAACCCAUUGAUUAUAUUAGUGGAGUUUUUAAGUGGCCUAAGGGUCCCGUGGUUUUUACUUCUCACAUUGGAAAAGGUUUUCCACGCUAAAAAUUGUUGGUGUUCAUAUACUUGUUAAUUGGGUGAAUUCUUGUUGCUCUAUUUGAUUGAUUCCUAUUAGGUUCUUACAUGAGGGGAUAAAGUAUUGAUGGGAUACUUAUAGGAAUCAAUCAAAUAGAGCAACAAGAAUUCACCCAAUUAAAAAGUAUAUGAACACCAAUAAUUUUUAGCGUGGAAAACAUUUUCCAAUGUGAGAAGUAAAAACCACGGGACCUUUAAGUCACNNNNNNNNNNNNNNNNNNNNNNNNNNNNNNNNNNNNNNNNNNNNNNNNNNNNNNNNNNNNNNNNNNNNNNNNNNNNNNNNNNNNNNNNNNNNNNNNNNNNAUCACCCAUAUAGAGCAACAAGAAUUCACCCAAUCAAAAAGUAUAUGACUUCCAAUAAUUUUUAGCGUGGAAAACAUUCUCCAAUGUGAGAAGUAAAAACCACGGGACCCUUAGGUCACUUAAAAACUCCACUAAUAUAAUCAAUGGGUUACACAAUUCUUUCUAGAUAAAACUAAAGGCAUACAUCAACCACAUCUCAAGACAAAUUAAUCUUGGCAAUUUCAACAACUUUGCAUAAAGACAAUGGAGAAAUCUCACCAAACAUAGCCACUGUUCUCGGACUGAAAUAUAUCUGUUCCAAACUCCAAAUCCAAUCUCCAUCGUUCAGAAUGAAGAUCAAUGAGUUCUGAAUGUGCUCACCAAAAAUUAGUUCAAUCAAACCACAGAUUAACCUUGAUUGGAGCUCAUGAUCAAAACUAUCUGGAUAGAAAACUCACCAAAAUAGAGGCUUUGUUCUCGGACUAAAAUAUGACUGUCUGGAACUCUAAAUCCGAUAUCCACCAUUCAGAUUGAAGAUCAAUGAGUCACAAAUCUCUCCUCCAAAUUUUAGGUCGAUCGGCCCAUAGAAAAAAUGGGAUCGGACCUUUGAUGAAAUCUGGAUAGUGAAGAAAAACUGAGUUUUUCUCUCUAACUUCAAAAAUGGCGGUUCUCCCCUUCUCUCUCUUUUCUCCUUCUACUCUCUUUUUCUUCUACCUCCGGCGACUACAAAAAAAAAAAAAAAAAAUGGAAGAAGAAGAAGAAGAGGGAUUUUUUUUUUUUAAUCCUUUUAUAUAAAGGCCUAAGAGGCCUUAAAUUUUAGGCUCUUAAUUUAGGCAUUGCACAUGAGGAAAAACCCAACAACGGUGACAACAACACCAUGUUCCCACCUGCACCUUUCAAUCUAACCUCUUUCAUCCAGGACUGUACAAGCUUAUAUGACAUCCCCUUAUGGAGGCCAUGUAUUAUAUAUCUUGUACAAAUUUUUUGUUUUUUUGUUUCUGUUUUUCCAUUAUAUUUAGCAUCACUAAUUUCAAAAUGAUCUUCAUUUUUUUUAUGUCAAUUGCAGGAUAUAAAACAAAUUCUCCAUAGUUUUGCGUAAUAUCAUCUUCUCCAAUGGGCUAAGAGAUCCUUAUAGCAGUGCCGGGUAAUUAAAAAAAAACACUUUUAUUCUUGAAUUUUUUUCAGUUUUUUAGGUUUAGUGGGUGUGUAUAUGUCCUCAAUCUAAUUGACCCAAUUUUAAGUAAUUGUUUUUCCUUUUCUUUUGGUCCCUAAUGUAUGGUAUUGGAGAACAUAUCUCAUAUUGUUCUUGCCAUUCAUGCAGUCGAUCAAUGGUACACGCUUUAACAUGAUCAACUCUAUUACAAUCCACCAAAAAUAGAGAGAAAAAAAAAAAAGGAAACAAAAUCACACAGCAGUUAUUGAUUAGAAUGGCAUCCCAUAUGCUAUACUACUAAGCAUAUAGAAAUAUUUCAAAAGAGAGGUACAAAUUAAGAUCAUGUGCAUAUUGUAACUUUUGUCCAGAGAAUAUUGGUGGAAUUUGUCUUUAAUAAGAGCCUUAUGUCGCAGGGUCUCAAUGCUUGGAUAUUCUUCCUACAAGGUCUACUGAUUCGGAAUGGCUGGUUAUGCAAAGACUAAGGUUGAGAUCAUUGAAAGUUGGAUUGCUAAAUACUAUGUUGAUUUAGAUGCCACAAAGAAAAGGACCAUUUUGAAAUAUUAACUACGGGAAAUAAUGGUAUUAUAUUUCUUAUGUUUGAAUUAAAAAUAAAUAAAUAAAUAAAUAAAUUGUAAUGGUUUAAGAUGAUACCCUAAUGGGUUACAUUUUGACACCAUUUGAAUUGAACUUCUAAUUUUCUUGUCUUGCUCACAUUGUUAGUACUGUUCUUGUGGUGGAUUCUUUGCCUUCACGAAAGCUCUAAAUUAGUUGAAGGGAAUUCCCAGCAUAAUGUUGGAAUGACAACUAAUCGCUCGGAUUUUGUCGUUUAUUAGAUUAAAACAAAAUUUAUAACCUAAUUUACUAUUCUAUAGCAGUUUGUACCUGAUCAAAAAGUGGUUUUAGUACAAACUACUGUAAUAUAGUAGUUUUUAGGUAUCGUCCACAAUGAUGGAUUAUUCUCAGUAAUAAAGGCUUGAAUGAGAUGAUAAGAAAUGAUUGUGAUAAAGUGAAAUUGACUUGAAAUUGCAUGAUAAAAAUCCAAAAUAACAAUGUAUUCAAAUUGAGAGGAAAAUGAAGUGUAAAAGAGAAGAAAAUUAAUAAGAGAUGAGAUUCUCGGAGUUAGGAUUUUCUAGAAAAAAAUUUCUAUGGUGAAUAGAUGUUGAGAUCUAAUUUUCAUCAAGUUAUAUUGAAAACCUAAAUUUUCAUCUAAACCGAUUUUUGAUUUAGCUUUAGGUCUAUAUCUAAUUUCUCUUCAAAUUAGGUAAUCUAAUCCAAGAGAUCAAUUCAAAUCAUAUAUUCAAUUCAUCUUAAAUUAUCUUCCAAUGAUUCACACAAUACAACUAUUCAAUCUCAUCAAAUCUAGCUUUAAGAAUUUGAUGAACCUACCUAGCUUGCCUUGUAGUAAUCAUCCAAGACAAUUUGAAGAGAAAAAUCCCCAAAUUUUAAUUAAUCAAUCAAUUGGAUCAAAUUACCUUUGCAAUUCAAGCUCAAUUCUCUAAUUCACCAUAGAUCUUGCCUAUAGAUCCUCCAUUCUCCGAGAAAAACGAGAUUUAGCCACUCAUGCUUGGAGAUUUCAUCUCAUAAGACAUGUUUGGCUACCGAGAAAAUGAGAGAAAAUGAAGGAAAAUAGAGAAUUAUAUAGAGAAAAGAAGUCUGAAAAGUUCUACAAUUAGAAAAUAUCCAAAAGUUUUUAAAUGAGUCAAUCACGUUUCUAUUUAUAGGCCAAGGUUAAGAGGACACUUGGCAUCAUUUAAGAGGUCUUCCAGAUGCUUCUUUAUCAAGGAAUCUAGAGAAAAUACAUUUUCUCACGAGCCUCAGCAAUUUCGCAUGAUGGUGAGAAGUGGAAAAUCCAUUAGCUUCAUUUUCGUCUUUCUGGAGCGUUUCACAUGACUGUGCAAAAUUUUCGUAUGGUUAUGCAAAAUCACUUUUCACGUUUCCCUUGUAUACUGCAGCCAAGCCUAUUCUGUUUCAUUUCGCAUGACUGUGCGAAAAUUUCGCAUGGUCAUGCGAAAUCGAAAAACAUGCUUUUUAGACUCCUCUUUGCAAUUUCUCUCAUUUCUUUCUCUUGAUUCCACUUCAACUACCUCCAAAUCAACUCCAAAUCCCAAUCCAAACCGAUUGCAUUGCUUCUUUUGUCACCAAUUUAUCAAAAACAUACCUUGAAAUUACUCCAAAACUUCAUAAAACUUGUUAGUAACUCUUGCAAGGGUAACACCAUGUUAAUUGAGUGUUUUAGGCAUAAUUACUACUCAAAAGACGUGAAACUCGUGAGAAUUAUUAUCUAAAAUAUGCUCUUUUUGAGUAGUAAUCGGCAACCCACAAAAUAUAGUCCAAUAGAGUGAGUCCUUGUAAGGAUCAUGCCAUAUUUCCUCAUACCCAUCUCAAAAACUUGGGAAUAAAGUAAUUUCUAGACAUGGGAAAUGAUUUUUGAAGUAAGGGUUGAGGACAGAUGAGUUGGUAAACAUAUUAAUGAAAGAAUACAAAAAUAAAGUAAAUCACAAACAAAGGUAUGUAAGGUUUUAAUGUGGUUAAGAUAACCAUGUUUAUCUCCAUAGAUGAGAAAUAACGUUCAACUAUAUAAAAAAAAAACUAUUAUAGAGGACAUAAAUAGAUAUAUCUAUUAGAUUUCAAUACAUACCACAUUUUCCUACUUUUUGUAUGUUCACCUUGAAUCAUGAUCCUUUUUGCAUCACUAGGUGUUUCUCACUCUUUCUUAUGUAUACAUUUUGGUGAAUCUUCUUACUUUAUCGAGUGUCUUUCGCUAUUCUUAACAUCUCUAUUCAUUACGUAUAGUUUUCACAAGUUUAUCUCUCUCACAACCUUUUCUCCUCAUAACCUAAAAUAUUUAUAAAGAUAUUUCUGCUAACUUUCCUUAUUCUAUAUAAUAUUUCUUCUACAAAGAGGAAUAUAUUCCCAUUAAGAAUUGGAGACACUACCUAACAAUAUCCAUCUUAAAUCUAAGUCAAUCUUUCAUCUCUUUGUGAUAUAUAAUUUCUUUGUGUACCUCUCUCUCCUCGUGUGCCACAAUUUCCUUUUGUAUACCACAAUUUUCUUGUAUGCCACAAUUUUCUUGUUUAGUGUAUCAUGUUUUGAAAGAAUAAUUGAUUUCACCUUAAUAAAAUUCCUUUCUACAAUCCUCUUAUGUUCUCUAUUCUUUUUUACCAUUCCAAGGCUCUUAUAGAAAACUUAAGCCCAAGCUUUUCUAGAAAACUUAAACCAAGGCUUUGAAACUACUUAUUGUGCUAAAAAAGUGUUAAUAUAAACAUAUUAAUGACAAACACAAAAAUAAAUCAAACCACAAAUAAAAGUACAUGAGAUUUUAAUGUGCAUGGUUUCAACCAAUUAUAGUUGCUUUCAUGGAUGUGAGAUAACAUUCCACUAUACGAUAAAAAAUAUUGCAUAGGAUAAAAAUUAAAUAAAACUAAUAUUUGGUCUCAAUAUAUCUCACGUUUCCUUACUUUUUAUAUGUCCACCUUAAACCACAAACUCUUUUGCUCUAUUAGUAGUCCUUCACUCUUCCUUACACUUUACCUCCUCGUAUCUACACUUUAGUAAACCCUCUUACUCCACUAGAUGUUUUUUUUUUUCUCACAUUUUUAUCCAUCAUGUAUAGUCCUCACAAAUUCAUAUCUUCCAUAACUUUUUCCCUUCAUAACCUUGAAUAUUAAUAAAGACAUUGUUACUAGUUUUCCUUAUGCUAUAAAAAAUCUAAUUACAAUCAUAUAUUAACUUAGAAAAUAUUAAUCUAUAUAAAAUUCCUUGGAAUUUGAGGAACUAACCAAAAUGAUCAUCUACCCUACAAAUAGAUAGAGGGUUGGGUAGUCAGUGAUGUGUAGAGUAUCACUUUGUUCAUUGUUGUUGGUUUGCACUAUUAUGAAAUGAUACUCGUAGUAAUAAUUUGAAAAUUGAAUAAUAAAAAGAAAAUAGAGUAAUAAAUAAAAUAAUGGAUAAAAGUACUUAUAUGGUAAAAUCCUCUUAAUUAUGGGGGAAAUCUCCACGAGAAAGACUAAAAAAAUAUCCCUUAUAAAGACAAAAUUACAACCUCUCUCUCAAUUAAGAGGAGAGAACAUAAAAGCUUACAAAAAUAUGGAAUCCUUUUUUGCGAUAAAUAGUGCAUAAAGUGGAAGUCUUUUUUUAUAGUACAAGGAAGUUCCCUUUCUUUUGUCUCCUAAAUGAUGUGAGAUGAUUUCAACCUUAACAUUCUCUUACUUAUGGUCAUUUUUCUCUGUCUUGCUCUACAUGGUUAGUCAUGGAAUGAAAGGUUGGAUUUCUUGCAAUAUGCAAGGUGUUGGGAUUGAACCCUUAAAAGCAAGACAUGAUGUAACAAGGUUAAAUUUUAUUGUCCCCUAACUAUCAUUUUUGUGCAUUGACAUUGAUUUGAACAUUCAACUCAUAUUUCUUAUAUUGUACAUGACAUGAGUGCAUUAGUUGUAUAAAGGAUUCAAGUCGUUGGUUCCUUGUAAAUAAAUAAGUUGUUUACAACUAGUUUAUGAAUUUGGGCAAUCUAGUAAAGAUUAUAAUAUGUUACUUCAUAAUUGAAAUGAUGACUUGUUUUGGUUGUUGAUAUGAGUUUCCUAAUAUGAGUGCACUAGUAUAUGUGAUGCACACUAAAUAGGACCUACGAUGAGUCAUGAUGUAAGACUAUCGAUUGUCAUGAUUUACUAAGCUACUAUACUACAUGAACUCUCAACCUUGAGAAGUAUUGAAUCUACACCAAAAUCAACAAGAGGUUUUGAUCUAUGGGUGAGAUCUUAAAAUGAUCAUAUAUUCUUAAGGAUUGAGUCAUUGUUGAUGAAGGUUGGUGACAACAAGUAUUUUCAAUAGAGACACUAUUAUAUCUCAUGGGAUUGAGAUAGUGUGUCUCUUUAAGUGAUCCAAAAGACAUGUAAUCAUGAUAUCUAUGGCCACAAUAAUUCUUUUACUUAUUGGAGUUAAAGUAUGUCAGUUGAUCAUAUAAUAAGUGUGAUCUAUAACUCAAUGAUUGGAGAGAUAAUCUUGAUAAAUGAUAGCAAUAUCUUGUUAGAUUACAGACACUAGUUCAUGAGGAGUCCACAUACAAUAAAUAGUAGGUCACAAACUCGAACUCUAUCUCGUUGAUUCUUUGUGCUACUAUUUCAUUUUGUCUUUGCAAACCAAGAAAGGGCACUUGGCAAGAGAAUAUUUGUUUUAUCCAUGAAAACUAAGUGAUGAGCAUCAAUUAAAUUAGUCUUUUGAAAUAAAUUUCCAUCUUUGGUAUUAAACACUUAUUUCUAUGCGUAGACUUUGCCCAGUUUUUUCCUCUAGAAUGGUUGAGUAAAGACUAAUGUAAUGCUAAUACAUGCUAGACGUUCACAUAAAAUGGAAAUGUAAUUCUUGUUACAAUAUACGCCUUUUCCAAGCACUAUUUUUGUUAGAUUUACAUGUAAUAUCUCUCUAUUUUCUUGAGUUCUUUUCAGGCUAAGGGAUCGCCUAGUCAAAAUUAUCACUGAUUACAGGACUGAAACAUCCCUUAGACAUGGAUGCAACGAUAUUCUCAAGGUACUCCUUUGCUUCUCAUACCAGUACUUUAGCAAUUUUUCCCAUAGAAAACUUCAUCAUGCUGGAAACGCUUUGACAUUUCGGUAUAAUUGUCGAACUGUCAGGCCGAUUGUGUAAAUUGGACAUGUACCGAGAUGGUGAUGCCAAUUGGACAUGGGAAUAAUGAUACAAUGUUCCAAGCAUGGCCUUUUGAUUUGAACAACCGUACAAAAACCUGUGAAGAUCUAUUUGGUGUUACUCCAAGACCUCAUUGGAUCACAACAGAAUUUGGUGGCCAUAUAAGCUUCUGCUUCUUCCUUUUCUAUGUAUCAUUGUGUUGAAAUCCAUGCAACGAUUUAUGGUGAAAAUUAGGGAAAACGAGAAAGAGAAACACGUAGAUUUAACGUGGUUUGGUAAAUUGCCUAUGUCCACGCAACAGGAAAUAGGACUUUCACUAUGUAUAAAAUUAAGGUUACAUAAAUGGGUAUUUAUACCAACCUUAGGGAAGAGGACUUUCACUAUGUCUUUUCUCCGCUCCAUUCCACUCCACUUCACUCCGACGUUUGCCCAUUUUUUUGCAUUGUCUUUUACUCAAAUAUGAGCCACAUACUACAACACACUGCUUACUCAAUUUUCAACAACAAAUUUCAAGCACUCCUAAUGAUAACUUCCAGGAUAUAAAGUCUGUACUAGGAAAUUUUGCAAGCAACAUCAUAUUCUCCGAUGGACUUCGAGACCCUUAUAGUGCAGGAAAGUACUAAAACUUCUGAACCUUUUCACCCAUGUAGUCCUCAUCAAAAUUACAUUAUAUGCUAACCAAAUUCUUCUUAAACCACAGAGUUCUACAAGGUAUAUCCGAUGGCGUGGUAACUAUAUGUACAGAGUCUACAGACAAAGGUAUGUCUUUUCUCCACAGUGAAGUGUUGGAACUGUACUUUUAAUUUAUAAGCUUUCUGAUUGAGAUUUGUAUGGCAAUCAGGUGCCAUUGCUUGGAUUUAUGUACCCCAACAGCUACUGAUUCCCAGCAAGAGAAAGAGGUCAAAAUAAUUGGAUUAUGGUUAGCAAAGUACAAUGCUAGGCUUAAUAGUAAGGCUCAUGGGAGAAUGGGCUAGGACUAUCUUCAUUAACAGUUUUGUUUAGAGGAAUCACAAUGAUGUAUUCCAUAAUAUUGAAUUUAUCCGACCAUAUCAGUAACAUAUGGUUCAGGUUUUGAAAUUAGAAAGUGCAUAGUGGAAAAAUAUAUGACCAUUUGCAGUAUGCAUGUGAACUCUUUGAUUUGAAACUGGGGCCUCGACUGGUUGAAGCAAGGAUGGUUGUGGUUUUGAGAGUUAACCUUAAACACUGCCUUAUAUGAACUUUCAUACGGGUCCAUGUUUACAACAGGAUGCGAUUUUUUUACUUCAUCAAGCCCAGUGAAAUUCAAGAUAGCAAGGCCAGAGAGUUGGUGAAUAAUGGGGGUUUUGUUGGCUUGAUGAAGCUUGUUUCAAGCUUGAGCUUGAGUUUACUUGGGCCUCCUCAGAGGUAUAUAACUUGCAAUUUCCAACUGCCCACAAACACACUAUGAACUUCUUGAUAUGAUAUUUUGAUAUAAAACAAAUAUAAAAAAGGAAUUAAGGGUGCAUGAAUUCAACUUACCAGUGAUGAACAAGGAAGAUUCUCAACUUAGAGAGCUAGCUUUCAAACCUUACAACCUGACCCUCCAUCAUUUCAAUCAUGAGCCAGAGAGUUACACCAUCUUGCAGCAAUAAUACACCACAAUUUCUGUGUAAUGGGAUGGGGCAAAUUUUAUUAUUUUUGUACAGGCAGUGAGGCGAGUAUUAGUGGGAGUGGCAAGGCAACUGUUGGUGGAUUCAUGAAUGAUCUUGCUUCUCACUUCCGACAUUGAAUUUAUGUGUUAUGAUCUGAAUAAGAAGUAAAAAGGAAAGAUAUUACGUAUCAGAAUGUAUGCAUGCAUAACAGGUGUUUUUGACUGGGUUGGGCUGCUUGAGCUUGGCCGGCCUGAUUAAACUCUGCCGGCACAGAAGAAAGAUGUGAGAGAUGGUGACAUAAACUUCGAGUUUAUGUCAGAUCACUUGAAGUUUUGACUGGGUCGGGCUGCUUGAGCUUGGCUUGAUUAAACUCUGCCGGCACAGAUAGCUGAGUUUAAGCUUGACUAUCUUUAUUAAACUUGACGCUUGACCAGGGUCUAUAAUAUGCAAAUUCUAACCGGCCACAAAUGCAUAGCAUACGCUUCUUGAUGUGAACUUGCUCUCAGACAAAGGGUAACUUAACCAGUAAAGACGAGAAAGAUAUUCAACCAGAAAGCUACCUUCCAAACUCUACAUGUUCACGUCCAAGCAAAGCAAACAGAUAACAUAGAAGGUAACGAAGCAAGAACAAAAAUGACGACUAGAAACAAGGAUAAACGUUUGAGGACACUAUAUAUAUUAGUCCAUUCUGGGUUCUAAUUUGCUGUAACAAAAAUGGAGCAACAUUUAUUCUUCCAACUGUUGCUAUUUCUGCUUCUGCUCAUGACAGUAUGUGUUUCUGCAAUGUACCCAGGACAGCAAGGCUUGUCAUGGUCAGUAAAUCCAUGAAGAGCGCCUUAAAUGCUGAACUCUCUUCAGACUUCGUAACUUAUUAAUAUAACCAGACACUGAUCAUUUCAAUUAUAGGCCAGAAAGUUACACAACCUUUCAACAACGAUACCUUAUAAAUUCUGCAUACUGGAAUGGGGCAAAUUCUAGUUCUCCAAUCUUUGUUUAUACAGGUGACGUGGCGAGUAUAACUGGAGUGGCAACUUUUGCUGGAUUCAUGGUUAAUCUUGCUUCUCGGUUCAAAGGACUCUUGCUGUAUAUAGAGGCAAUUGUAUAUAUAGCUCCAAACAAAUGACUUUCAUAUAUUGUGAUAAUUUGUGUGUUUCAAAGAAAAGAUCAUAGAAAAAAUGGUAUAAUCUUGGGGAUCAUUAUAUCCUUGUAGAAUUGAGAGCAUGGGUAAUGAUGGCAGAUACGAUUUAAUAUUGUAGCAUUCAAUAUUAUGGAGAAUCAGUUCCAUUGGGAUCCAAAGAUAUAGCAUUCAACAACACAAAUACCCUUAGGUACUUCAGCUCAACACAAGCUUUGGCAGACUAUGCAGAGUUGAUCACAAACCUUAAGAAAAACUUGUCUGCAGAAUAUUGCCAUUGGUGGAAGUAAGUCAGUUAUAUUUCCAAAGUUUUCAUUGAAGAAAUAAACUUGAAAGAAAUUGAAGGCUUAGGGGACCCAACCCAUUAGUGCUUUGCCCUUUUAAAGACCCUUUCUAUCACAGAGUCUGCUUCGAGCGUGCACAAAACAUGGGGCAGCGACACAAACGUGGUUCCAAACGAUAAUCCUCGUUCCUAAAUUGAUGGAAUGAAUGUGGACCACAUUCUGAAUCACGUCUUCAGUUUGUUACCGAAAGUCUAGGAGAAACAAAAUCCCUACAUUCUCCCACUUGGUCCAUAUAUUCCAUCAUUCACCAUAGCAAGAAACAAAACACAUGAAUCAUGGUGAUAGGUCCUCUAAAACCGAAUAUUAUAUAUGUUCCAUGUAUCACAAUGCAUCAUGUCUCAUAAACACUAGCCCAUAUAACUUAAUGAAUAAACCUAUGUUUAUUCUAGGUCCAAACAUUAAUGAUAUUUCUCAACAAAUAAAUAAAAGUGUGCACAAGGAAAAUUAAAUGUGAGAAAACAUCACAAAUAGAGUUUCAUUGAAAAUAACAUUCGUUUUUACAACAAAAAUCACACUAAGGUACCAAGUCCCAAUCUAUCUACAUGAUCCUUAAAUUUCAACGGUGGUAUGCCUUUAGUCAAAGGAUCAACAAUCCAUUAAUUCAGUGCUAACUUGUUCAAUAAUCACUGUUUUCUCUUUAACGCAUUCUCUUAUGGCUAAAUAUUUGAUGUUGAUGUGCUGUUUUGACUACUGCUUUUGUUGUUCUUAGCCAUAAAAACUACAGUUGAAUUGUCACAAUAUAUCCUUAAUGGCCUAGAAACAGAAUCCACAACUCUAAGCUCAUAAAUGAAACUCUUUAACCAUACACGAUGCGAGGUAGCCUCGAAACAAGACAUGAACUCAGCCUCCAUAGUGGAAGUUGCAAUCAAAGCCUGCUUUGCGUUUCUCUAAGAAAUAGCUCCACCGGUUAGCAUAAAGACAUAUCCCGAAGUUGAUUUUUGUGAAUCAAUGCAACCAACGUAGUCUGAAUCAGAGUAGCCAAUCACUUCCAAAUUAUCAACCAAUAUGUAGUCUUUGGUCCCCUGAAGGUACCUCAUCACCUUAUUUGCAGCUUUUUAGUGGUCUAUACUUGGAUUACUCUGAUAUAUUCCUAACAUCCCAACAAUAAAUGCAAUGUUAGGUCUUGUGUAGACCUGAGCAUACAUUAAGCUUCCAACAACAGAAGCAUAAGGAAUGUUCUUCAUUUGUUCCCACUCAAGAUCAUUCUUCGGGCACUGGUUCAAAUUGAACCUAUCGCCCUUCACAAUGGGAGCUAUACUUGGUGAACAAUCCUUCAUCCGAAAUCUCUCUAAAACCUUGUUGGUAUAGGUCUCUUGAGACAAGCUCAAAAAGCCUUGAAAUCUGUCUCUAUGUAUCUUAAUGCCAAUGACAUAAGUCGCAUCACCCAUAUCCUUCAUGUCAAAGUUUUCAGAGAGAAAUUGUUUCACCUCAUGUAGCAAACCCUUAUAAUUGGUUGUAAGUAAAAUGUCAUCCACAUACAGAACAAGGAAAAAAAAUCUUACUCUCACUAACCUUCUAGUAUAUACAUUGAUCCAUAAUGUUAUCCUCGAAACCAAAUGAAGAAAUUACAUCAUGAAACUUCAAAUAUCAUUGACGGGAUGCUUGUUUCAAUCUAUAUAUGGAUUUCUUAAGCUUGCAUACCAGAUGCUCACCACCAUUAAAGGAAAAUCCUUUUGGUUGUUUCAUGUAAACCUCUUCAUCUAGAUCUCCAUUGAGAAAGGUCGUUUUCACAUCUAUUUGUUGCAAAUCUAAGUCAAAAUGUGUAACUAAUAUCAUAAUGAUACGAAAAGAAUCUUUCUUAGAUACAAGAGAAAAAAACUUCUGGUAGUUGAUUCUUUCCUUUUGAGUGAAUCCUUUAGCAACAAGUCUUGUUUUAUAUCUUUCAAUGUUGCCCAAUGAAUUCUUUUUUGUCUUGAAGACUCAUUUACAUCCAAUGGAUUUUGCACCAUCAGACAACUCAAUAAGAUUCUAGACUCUAUUAGAUGCCAUAGAAUUCAUCUCAUUUUUCAUAGCAUCAUACCGAUUCUUGUAGAUAUACAACAUAAUCACUAGGUAUUGUUGUUUUUCUUGCUCUGGUAGAUAUUCUUAAUUGUGUAUCAACAUUUUCCUGAGGAUCAUGUUGCUCAACUGGUUGUUCAACAAUUUAUGGUGAAUCUUGAACAACUUGAUCUAUUGGAUUGUCAUUAGCAGUUUGUGGAACUUCAAUGAUUAGUUGUCCAUCACCUGUUUGAACUUGAGGAGCAUUGUGAAUGACAAUCAAUCUAUCACUUGAAGUGGAAGGUUGAACAUCAAUAUGAUCUCUUUUAGAAACAAUGUCUUAAAAUCGAUCACUCCCACUAAUAAACUCAUUCUCAAGAAACUUAGUGUUUCUUGACUCCACAAUCCUAGUGUUGUGAGAUGGACAGUAGAAUCUAUACACUUUUGACCUUUUUGCAUAUCCAAUGAAAUACGCACUAAUGGUCCUUGGGUCUAGUUUCUUCUCUUGUGGGUUGUAAACUCUUACUUCAGACGAGCAUCCCCAAAUGCAUAUAUGUCGCAAACUCGGUUUCCAACCUUUCCAUAAUUCAAAUGGCGUCUUAGGAACAACCUUUGUUGGAACCUAAUUCAAUCUAUACACUUCCGUUUUAAGAGCUUUGGUCCACAAGGAUUCAGGAAGUUUGGAGUUGCUACGCAUACUUCUCACCAUGUCCAUUAAUGUUCAAUUUCUUCUUUCUGCCACACCAUUCUGGUUUGGGGAACCAGGCAUGAUGUAUUGAGCAAUUAUCCCAUGCUUUUGCAUAAAGUUCACAAAUGGACCAAGUGCUUGUCCAUCCUCGGUGUAUCUACCAUAAUAUUCUCCACUUCUAUCUGUUUUCACAAUCUUUAUUUGCUUUCCGCAUUGUUUCUCUACUUCAGCAUUAAAAACUUUAAAGACACCCAAUGCAUCAUUUUUGUUAUGAAGCAAGUAGAUAUACAUGUAUCGUGAGUAAUCAUCUAUGAAAGAAAUGAAGUAUUUCGAACCAUACACAUCCAUGUCUGGAUAACAAAUAUUUGAUUGCAUGAUCUCUAAUAUAUCUAUGCUCCUCUUGGCACCCUUCUUAGACUUGUUGGUUUGCUUUAGCUUAAUGCAGUCCAUAGAAGUGUCAAAAUUAGUAAAAUCUAAAGUACUGAGUACUCCAUCAUUUACUAAUAUCUUAAUUCUCUACAUGGAGAUAUGUCCCAAUCUCUGGUGCCACAACAUAGAAGAAUCUUCAUUCAUAAUACAUUGUUUUGUACCAGUGUGAACAUGCAUAGCAUUAUUAGUGGUAUCAUUUUGCAAAUAGAUAGAAAAAAGACCAUCAGAUAAUGCACCAUUUCCAACAAAAUUAGAUUUAUAAAACAAGUUGAAAGAUGUCUUAUAAAAACUAAAAGAAUAACCUAAAAGUACAACUCUUGAAACUUAAAUCAAACUCUUAGAGAAACUUGGAAUAUAAAAUGUCUUUUCUAAAUUCAAAAUAAAACCACUACUUAAAACUAAACUGUAUCUUCAAAUAGCCUCCACAUGUGAGCACAUCUUGUUUCUUGAAUAAAUGCAUUGCUCACUUGGCAUUGGCUUCCUUAGGUUUCGCACACCUUGCAAGGUAUUCGAAACAUGAAUUGUAGAAUCAGAAUCAAUCCAUUGCAUGUUAUAAAUAACAUUAACCAUAUUAAAUUCAUAUAUAGCAAACAAAUGAGAUUGGUUUACCUUUCUUCUCAAGCUAUUUCUGGAAUUUGGUGCAACCCUUCUUCAUGUGCUCCUUUUUCUUGCAGAAGAAGCACCUAUUUGCCUUCUUGAUUCCACAUAGGGGCGGUAUUUUACCUUUCCCUUUCUUUUUGGCCCAAUUCUAAUAAUUUCCUUCCAUUUCCAUUAAUGCACUCUUACCCAAUUCCAUUUUUAGCCUUCCCUCAUCCUGAACACACAUGGUUAGAAGCUCAUUAAUUGACCACUUAUCCUUAUGUGUGUUGUAGGAUAUUUUGAAGGGUCCAUAUUGUUGUGGAAGAGUGUUCAAAAUAUAAUGCACAAUGAAGGAGUCAAACAUUUUAACCUCAAAUGUCUUCAAUUGUGCCGCAAUGUCCCUCAUCUACAUUAUGUGUUCUUGCACACCACUCACAUCGACGGACCUUAAGAAUGAAAACUUCAUUAUUAGGGAGCUAGCAAGUGCCUUAUCUAAAGUCACAAAUUGCUAAUCAAUAGCCUUCAGUAAUGCCUUGACAUUGUCGUGCUGAUCAACAGAACCACGAAUACCAACAGAGAUUUUGGUCUUUAUGAACAUCAGACUAAGGCAAUUUAAUCGCACCCAUUGUUCAUAAAGAGCCUUUUCACUUAUAGUGUUGGUGUCAGUAAUGAUUGGCUUGUCUUUCCUAAUAGCAUAAUCAAUGUCCAUGCACCCCAAAUGAAGGAGAAUUCUCUCCUUCCAAAAGUUAUAGUUAUCACCUUUCAAUUGAGAAUGUCACAUUUUAUAUUAGAGAAAUUUACAGGUUGCAUGACUGCACAAAAAUUAAACAUACAUGCUUAUAAUUCAAAAUUAAGACUAAUAACCAUAUAUCAUGUUUUACCAAUGUAAAUCAUGUUCCAAAAUUAUGAAUCUAGUGACAUAAAACUGCAUGUGGGCUAAAGUUCUAAUUCAAUUAGAUCUAUGUAAAACCUUAUGAUAAAACUAUCAAAUUAUGUUUCAUUUUUUAAUUCCAAUGGGUAAUUAAGAAAUAUAAUUUGAUAUUCCAUCCGAACUAAUAAUACAAAUAUAAUAAAAAAGUCAUGUGGGAAAAAAUUUUAUUAUAUCAAAUAUAAUUAAUUACCCGUAAUGUCAUUUUUCUAUAUAUGAUCCUAAAACACUUAAUGUAUAAUUUUGCAUAAUUAAAGUUGUUAUGGCUACUCCCUAAUUAAUUAAAAUUAUAUAUAUAGAUCACUUGACAUUUAAUUAAUUUACAAGAAAAACUCAUAUAAAUUGCAUGAAACCAUAAGCAAUAUAUACACAAAACUCAAUAUCAAUCAUGUAUUAAUAUUAUUCAACUCAAUAUUGCAUGUAUAAUAAAACAAUAAAUCAUACAUACAAAAUUAUGAAAUAAAUAUUAUAAGUACAUAAAUAUCUAAAAUUAAAUCCAUAAAGAGCCUUUAAGAAUUAAUUUAAUGUGCAAAAUUAUUUAACUUAAUGUUGUAAGCAUAAUAAACCAUAAAAAAAAAUAUACAUACAAAUAACAAAAAUAAAUAAUUUUGCACAUAAAAUAUCCAUAAAUUAAUAGAUCUUAAAACUUGAACUUGGGCAAUGCUUGGGGGAAGGUAAGUCUAAGACCAACUGGGCUAUUGCCCCUUCUCUUAUUUCAUUUAACUUAUUUUUUCCUUCUUUAGAGUCAAAACGACAUGCCCCAUGUAGCGUUCUUCUACCUUCAAUCGGGUCUGUUUGACCCGUUUGCAACUCGAAAUGAAACCCAACGGUUUUCGUGUAUUCUAGGUACCAGAUUGAUGAUUUAAAACACAAAAAUGUUAGAAAUCUCAUUUCCUAAUGAUUUCUAACCAUAUUUUUCAUUAAAAAAAAACUCCCUGUAUUUUUUAAUUUUUUUUAUUAAAAAAAACACAAAUUACAAAAACGAACAAGGCAGAGGCAUAUAAGGCUCUAAUACCAAUUGUAAGACAUAAAUUAUCUAAACAUGUUCAUAACAAUCCUUAAAUAACAAUUAGAUCAUAAGCGGGAUUGAAAAACAAACUAAAAACGUACCUCCCGCCUUGCCAUUCUCAUACUCAUGGGUUAAAAACGGUGUCUUUAUUUUUCGGGUUUUAGGUGCUUCUAAACCUUUCUCAACCUCUUUUUAGAUGGUGUUUUGAGACCGAAAGAGAUUGAAGGUUUAGGAGACCCAACCCAUUAGUUCUUUGCCCUUUUAAAGACUCUUUCCAUCACUGAGUCUACUUUGAGUGUGCACAAAACAUAGGGCAGUGAUGCGAACGUGGUUCCGAACAUUAAUCCUCGCUCCUAAAUUGAUUGAAUGAAUGUGGGACCACAUUUCGAAUAACGUCUUUGGUUUGUUACCGAAGGUCCAGGAGAAACAAAAUCCAAACAUGGUGAUCUUCAUUUAAUUUUCUCUUAUUUUUCAGUGUUGGCAUCCUGGUUUUGUCUAAAAUAUCCACAUGUAGCAAUUGGCGCUUUGGCCCCUUCUGCUCCCAUUCUCUACUUUGACGACAUAACACCACAAAAUGGAUACGAUUCCAUUGUCACCAAGGAUAUUAGAGUAAGAAACCAAAACAUCAGAUCCGAAUCUCUCAAGGUUAAUCACUUGAAGCACUGCCUCCAUGCUAAUCCUAUAUUGGGUGCUGCAGGAAACCAGCGAGACCUGUUACACCACCAUAAACAGUCUUGGUUUGAAAUUGAUAAAGUUGCAGCUCAACCAAAUGGCCUUGCGAAUCUCAGCCAAAUUUUUAGGACAUGUGAGUACGUAAUUCACAAGAUUUCCAUCUCUCUCUAUCUCUCUCUUUUCCUUGUCUAGUUUCAAAAAACAAUAUUGACCAGAUUCUGAUUUUGGAUAUUUCACCUGUGUCCAUCUCCGUCAAAUUCUCUCUAGGCCUUUGAACUCAUCCCAACAGCUGAAGGUAUGCUUAGAAUGUUAUUUCCACAUUAAAUUAAGUGGGUGGCCCACUAACUUAUUAUUUAGCCAAUUAAAAUAAAUCCACUAUCUUUAAACUGUUAUAGAUAUUUACCAUUGAUGGACUGGGUAAAUUACAAUAAUUUUAAUAUUAUUAUUUGAGAUAUUUAACAGUUAUUUCGAUUGACACGUUCAGAAUGGUUUUGAACGUGUAUUCUUGGCCCUCUCCUCCUAUCAAUAAAAGACAUAUACAGAAACCCCUUCGUGUGUGCUUUUUCCAUCAAUUACAGAAAAAUAACUCUGUGUAUUAAGGUUUGAUAAGGAGAAGAAGAAUCAAGGAUUUAAGAUCUAUAAGCUGAAGGGGAAAUCUCUCAUGGCUGCGUCUUCUUCAAACGGUAUGUGAUUUAUUUAUUAAUUAAAGUUUUUAUUAUUAUUUUAUUAUCAGAGACGAGUUUGAAUCAUAAUGAUCUGGAUAAUUGUAUGUUAGUUUCCGUGUUAAAUUCCAACAAUUGGUAUCAGAGCAAGGUUUUGAAUUUAAAUAUUCAGAUCAAUUUAUAAAAGAUUAGAUUUUUUUUUUUUUUGAGAUUUAUCUUCCAUUAAUUCGUCUCACUAAAAUUACUAAAAUAAACGCCAUUAAAAUUAUUCUUCAAACGGUUGUACCUCUGUAUCCUUGAGUUCUAAGGAGACAGGAACUAUAUCUGAGCGUGAUUGACCGUUUCUAGACAUGUGGAUUGCUUAUAUAACCCAUUGCGUAAUAGCUCCUAUUAGGAAAAAUAAAAUAAAGAAAAAGUAAUUCCAUGCGCCUAAGGGAAUAUUGAAAUUUUUAUUGUACGUGCUAUUGGGUUAGCACAUAGUAGAGGAUCGGUCCAGGCGCCAUUGAAGGCGCUGAUGCUCCAGGUUUCACGCGCCAGUUCAGGCGCGAUUUCUGGCGCCAUUGAAGGCGCUGAUUUUAGGCGCCAUUGCCGGCGCUGGUUGCAGGCACCAUUGCGGUGCCAUUGAAGGCGUCGUUUUCAGGCGCCACCUCCUGGUUGCAGGCGCCGUUGAAGGCGCCAUUGCCGGCGCCAUUGAAGGCGCUGGUUGCAGGCACCAUUGCCAAUGCCAUUGAAGGCGCCGUUUGCAGGCGCCAUUAGAGGCGCUAUUUGCAGGCGCUGUUGCCGUUUGCAGUGCUGUUUGAGGUGCGCUUCAGGCACCACUUACAGGCUCCGUUUCUCAGGCGCCAUAAUAGGCGCUGUUUUCUAGCUGAUUGCAGAUUAGAUCUUACACUUUCAAUAUUCGUAAGAGAGCUUACUAUUUUCUGGCACAUCUCAUACCCGUAGUACCGGGUCUUGACCACGUAAUCAAAGGCUUUAAAAGGUCUCUGCAGUGGAAUAUUUUUUUUUUUUUUUUAUGUGCACUAAUUCAAAGAUCUUAAUUAUUAUUAUUAUAUAUGAGGAAUGCAAGUAUUAGCUUUAGUAUAAUCAAUGAAUGCAGAUUUCUUUAAUUUUAUUAUGAUUGAUUAUUGAAUCUGUUAUAGAUACUAUUUCCUUGUUUUUUUUUUUUUAACUCAAAUAAAAGAAUUAAUUUCAUCUUGUGAAUAUUUUAUCUAAAGACAAUUUAUAAAUAUAUGGUUAACUAAUUUGGAUAGUUGCCAAAGUAACCUAAAUUAGUGAGCCUUGUAUUUAUUGAAUUGCAUAAAAGAAUAAAGGGAGACUUGUAAAAUUCUUAAUAAUUUUCUUUAUAAUUAGGAGAAUGAGACUAACCCAAAGGAGAGUCAAUUUCUGCUAAUUAUUAAUUAAUGUUUUAUUUUGUGUUGCUUAGAAAAGUAAAAUGGAUACCCAAAGGUAACAUAUAAAUGACACAAAAUAGUAAAGUGUUUUAAGCUCCCUCCAAGUGAACACUUGAUAUGUUAAAAUUUACCCAAAGGAGAAUUUUAAUGAUAUCAAUAGUUCAUUGUUUUUAUUUUAUUUUAUACUUGAAGCUUAUUAUGAGCAUUGUUCUAUUUUGUACAGUUCCCACUUCAUUACACUCUCUUGCAUCUGGAAUGACUAUUUUUGAUGGGUCAAAUUUUUCUGAAUGGUAUGAAAGAGUUCAAUUCUCACUAGGUGUAUUGGAUCUUGACUUGGCUUUAAUAUCUGAUAAACCUCCUGAAGCUACGGAUGACAGUACUCCGGAGCAGGUGGAACAAUCAAAAGCCUGGUCAAAAUCAAACAGACUCAGUCUGAUGUUUAUGAGAAUGACUAUUGCCAAUAAUAUCAAGACCUCUCUCCCUCAAACUGAGUUUGCCUCGGAAUUUCUGAAAUCUGUUGAGGAGCGCUUCAAACGCGUUGAUAAGUCCCUUGCAGGCACAUUGAUGGCUGAAUUGAUCACCAUGAAAUAUGAUGGUCAGAAAGGUAUUCAGCAACAUAUUUUGAACAUGACUGAAAAGGCUGCAAAGCUUAAGGCACUAGGUAUGGGUAUGGAUGAGUCCUUCUUGGUACAGUUUGUCCUUAACUCACUUCCAUCACAGUUUGCUCCAUUCAAAAUCCACUAUAAUACUAACAGUGAUCAGUGGAACUUGAAUGAGCUCACCAGUAAAUGUAUACAAGAGGAAGUGAGAUUAAGACAAGAAGGACAUAAUCAUGCUCUUGUUGUAACUCAUGGAGUCACGAAGAAGAAAGGAAAAUUCAAAAAGGGAAAGAACUUUCCACCUAAGAAAAGUGGACCUGGGGAAGGUAGCCAGAGUCAUGAUGGAAAAUUCACUGUAAGUUGCUACUUUUGUGGCAAGAAAGGGCAUGUGAAGAAGGACUGUAUCAAGCGCAAGGCUUGGUUCGAAAAGAGAGGUAUAAAUCUUUCUUUUGUAUGUUAUAAAUCAAAUCUUGCUGAAGUUCCUUCAAAUACUUGGUGGAUUGAUUCUGGAGCCACAACUCAUGUGACUAAUUUAAUGCAGGGAUUCCUUACAACCAGGAAACCAAAGGAAAGUGAAAAGUUCCUCUAUAUGGGAAACCGUCUCAAGGUUGAAGUGGUAGCUGUUGGUACCUAUCGCUUACUAUUAGAGACGGGUCAUCGGAUGGAUCUUUUAAACACUUUUUAUGUACCUUCUAUCUCUAGGAAUUUAGUUUCCUUGUCUAAAUUAGAUGCUACUGGAUAUUCUGUUUUAUUCAGUUCUGGACAAUUAAGUUUGAUGUUGAAUUCUGUUACAGUUGGUUCUGGUAUUUUAUGUGAUGGUUUAUAUAAAAUUUCCUUGAAUCAUGAAUUUGCACAAGCUUUGAUAACCCUGCAUUCAAAUGUUGGUUCAAAACGUGGCUUAAUUAAUGAAAAUUCUUCAAUCUUGUGGCACAGAAGACUAGGGCACAUCUCUAGGGAAAGAAUUGAAAGAUUAGUGAAGGAAGGAAUUUUACAAAAUCUUGACUUCACUGAUUUUCAUGUAUGCGUGGAUUGCAUAAAGGGAAAGCAAACUAAACAUACAAAGAAAGGUGCCACAAGAAGUAAUGAGCUCCUUGAGAUAAUUCAUACAGAUAUUUGUGGACCACUCUCUGUUCCAUGUUUCACAGGAGAGAAAUAUUUUAUCACCUUUAUAGAUGAUCUAUCUCGUUAUGGUUAUGUUUAUCUAAUGCAUGAAAAGUCUCAGGCCAUUGACAUCUUUGAGAUGUUCAUAACAGAGGUCGAGAGACAAUUAGAUAAAAAGAUUAAAAUUGUGAGAUCAGAUCGAGGCGGUGAAUAUUAUGGCAGAUAUGAUGAAUCAGGACAAAAUCCUGGUCCUUUUGCCAAAUUCCUUGAAAAGCAUGGCAUUCGUGCUCAGUACACAAUGCCUGGUACGCCACAGCAGAAUGGUGUUGCUGAAAGGCGUAAUCGCACAUUAAUGGAAAUGGUUAGGAGUAUGAUGAGUUACUCUUCUGUACCUAUUUCAUUGUGGGGUGAAGCCUUAAAAACUGCAAUGUAUAUCUUGAACAGAGUUCCUAGUAAGGCAGUUCCAAAAACUCCUUUCGAGUUAUGGACUGGUAGGAAACCUAGCUUGAGACAUAUACAUAUAUGGGGUUGUCCAGCGGAGGCAAGAAUCUAUAACCCACAUGAGAAAAAGCUUGAUUCAAGAACGGUAUCUGGAUAUUUCAUUGGCUAUCCGGAUAAAUCGAAAGGGUACAGAUUUUAUUGUCCUAACCAUAGUGUGAGAAUAGUUGAAACCGGUAAUGCCAGAUUCUUAGAGAAUGGCGAAAUCAGUGGGAGUAAUGAACCAAGAAAGGUAGAUAUUGAGGAGAUAAGAGUGGAUAUCCCACCACCUUUUUUACCUCAAGAAAUUAUUGUUCCUCAACCUGUUCAACAAGUUGAGGAUAAUGAGCAAAAUAAUAGAGAUGGUUCAUUACCACUAGAAAAUAUUGCCAUUGAAAAUGCUGUAGAGCCACCACAACCGGCACCUUUGAGGAGAUCUCAAAGAGAAAGGAGACCUGUCAUUACAGAUGAUUAUGUGGUGUAUCUACAGGAAUCUGAUUUUGAUAUUGGGAUAAGGAAGGAUCCGGUUUCGUUUUCACAAGCCAUGGAAAGUGAUGAUUCUAGUAAAUGGAUGGAAGCUAUGAAUGAAGAGUUGAAAUCUAUGGCCCAUAAUGGUGUCUGGGAUCUCAUCGAAUUGCCUAAUAAUUGUAAACCCGUCGGCUGUAAAUGGGUCUUUAAGACAAAGCGUGACGCUAAAGGCAAUAUCGAACGAUUUAAGGCCAGACUUGUGGCCAAAGGUUUCACUCAAAAGGAAGGUAUCGAUUACAAAGAUACCUUCUCUCCAGUUUCCAAGAAAGAUUCGCUUAGAAUCAUCAUGGCACUUGUAGCUCAUUUUGAUUUAGAGUUACAUCAAAUGGAUGUGAAAACUGCAUUCUUAAAUGGGAAUUUGGAUGAAGAUAUCUAUAUGGAACAACCUGAAGGGUUCACAAAGAAAGGAAAUGAACACCUAGUUUGCAAAUUAAAGAAAUCCAUUUACGGUCUUAAACAAGCUUCCAGACAAUGGUAUAUUAAGUUCAAUAAUACCAUUACAUCUUUCGGAUUUAAAGAGAACAUUGUUGAUCAGUGUAUAUAUCUGAAAGUUAGUGGGAGCAAGUUUAUAUUUCUGAUACUGUAUGUGGAUGAUAUUUUGCUUGCCAGCAGUGAUCUUGGUUUAUUACAUGAAACCAAGGAAUAUCUCUCUAAAAACUUUCAUAUGGUUGAUAUGGGUGAGACAAACUAUGUUAUUGGCAUUGAGAUCUUUAGGGAUCGAUCUCGAGGAGUGCUAGGUUUAUCUCAAAAAGGAUAUAUUGAUCGGGUUUUAGAGAGAUUUAAUAUGCAGUCAUGUUCAUCGGGUAUUGCACCUAUAUUGAAAGGUGACAAAUUAAGUAAAAUGCAGUGCCCAAGGAAUAACAUUGAAAGAGAGCAAAUGAAGAAAAUUCCUUAUGCAUCAGCUGUGGGGAGUUUGAUGUACGCUCAAACAUGUACAAGACCGGAUAUCAGCUUUGCUGUAGGCAUGUUAGGAAGAUACCAAAGUGAUCCAGGAUUCGAACACUGGAAAGCUGCAAAGAAGGUGAUGAGGUACUUACAAGGGACAAAGGAUUAUAUGCUCACAUAUAAAAGAUCAGAACAAUUAGAGGUUGUCGGUUACUCGGAUUCUGAUUAUGGUGGUUGUCUCGAUAGCUUAAAGUCAACUUCAGGAUUUGUCUUUAUGCUAGCAAAUGGGGCAAUCUCGUGGAAGAGUGAAAAACAAUCAAUUACUGCUUCAUCCACGAUGGAGGCCGAGUUUGUUGCUUGUUUUGAAGCUUCAAGUCAUGCUUUAUGGUUGCGGAAUUUUAUCUCAGGGCUUGGUGUUGUCGACUCUAUUGCUAAACCUUUGAGAAUAUAUUGUGAUAACACUGCAGCUGUUUUCUUCUCUACGAAUGGCAAAUUUUCUAGUGGAUCGAAACACAUGGAUUUAAAGUAUUUAGUUGUUAAAGAAAGAGUCCAGAAACAACAAGUGUCAAUUGAAAAUAUUAGGACCACACUUAUGGUUGCUGAUCCAUUAACUAAAGGAUUACCUCCAAAGGCAUAUUUGGAACAUGUUAUGAGGAUGGGUCUUUUGAGUAAUCCAUAAUGUGUAUGAUGAUGAAUGGUGGUUAUGUAAUUGACAAUUUGCGCAUUAAAAUUGUUUCUGUUUAUUCUUGUUUUCAAUUAUGGGUGCACAUUUUAUUGUUUGAUAAACAAGAAUUGUCCUGACAAGACAAAUUACAAGGGCUAUUUGGCAUUAAGGACUGGGUCAGUAAGGGUUAUUGAUGUGUGGUGCAUGGAAGGAAACAUGAUAUUAUGGUCAUGUGACCGCCAUGACUCGCAUUUAUGAUCUAAAUUGAUUCAGUAUUAUGGCAAAUGAUUUUGGAUGUAUUGGCUAAGUUUAUUGAAAUCGUGAUCACGUGUCAAAUUUAUUUUCCAGUAUAUAUUUUAUAUAUAAACUAAAUAUAUUAUAGUUUUCAUAAUCGGUUUAGUGGGCCAAGUGGGAGAAUGUUAUUUCCACAUUAAAUUAAGUGGGUGGCCCACUAACCUAUUAUUUAGCCAAUUAAAAUAAAUCCACUAUCUUUAAACUGUUAUAGAUAUUUACCAUUGAUGGACUGGGUAAAUUACAAUAAUUUUAAUAUUAUUAUUUGAGAUAAUUAACAGUUAUUUCGAUUGACACGUUCAGAACGGUUUUGAACGUGUAUUCUUGGCCCUCUCCUCCUAUCAAUAAAAGACAUAUACAGAAACCCCUUCGUGUGUGCUUUUUCCAUCAAUUACAGAAAAAUAACUCUGUGUAUUAAGGUUUGAUAAGGAGAAGAAGAAUCAAGGAUUUAAGAUCUAUAAGCUGAAGGGGAAAUCUCUCAUGGCUGCGUCUUCUUCAAACGGUAUGUGAUUUAUUUAUUAAUUAAAGUUUUUAUUAUUAUUUUAUUAUCAGAGACGAGUUUGAAUCAUAAUGAUCUGGAUAAUUGUAUGUUAGUUUCCGUGUUAAAUUCCAACAUAGAAUAUACCUAUCAGGGUUCAGCUCGGUAUGACAAUGUGCCAUCUCAUUAUGUGAGUGAUAUAUGCAAUACCAUAAAUGGGGCACCAGAAGGAACCAGCAUUCUUGGCAGAGUUGUAGAAGGUGUCAAUGCCAGUGCUGGACCCCGUGUCAUCGUAUAUACGAUUUCCAACCAAGUAACAUGGAUGAGUGGGUGUGGCAGGUAUUCCUUCUGCUUCCUUCUAUUGAAUUAGUUCCCUCUUCACCCACUUCCACCACCACUGUUUUAUUCUUAUUUUCUUUCACUGAAGCUUCCAUGUCUCAUAGACAUGUACCGAGAUGGUGAUGCAAUUUGGACGUGGUGAUAACGACACAAUGUUCCAAGCCUCGCUUUUUAAUUUGAAUAACUACACAAAGACCUGCCAACACCUCUUUGGUGUUAGUGUUACUCAAAGACCUCAUUGGAUCACGACAGAAUUUGGUGGCCAUGUGAGCUUCUACAUAUAUACAUGAAUACUUCAUUUCAACCUCCAUCAGUACUGCCAUCUCAACACAAAAACUCACAUUUCUCAUCGUGGUUUCAGGAUAUAAAAUCUGUACUAGGAAAUUUUGCCAGCAACAUCAUAUUCUCCAAAGGCCUUCGAGACCCGUACUGUUGAAAAAAUUUGGAUACAAUGGAGAAAGGAAACACUCUCACACACUCACUUUGAUACAAUAAAACUCUCUUAGAUACAAAAUAAGAACAAGAAGAAGAAGAACACAAGAAAGGCUCAAACAAGUUCUUGGAACUUUGUCCAAAGACUCUAUUUCCUCCCACCUCUAGAAAUCUUUUGGGAACUAAAUGGAAAUAGUCUUGGGAUUGAUCAAGCCUUUUCACUUUUCUGCAUGAGAUUUCAAAAAGAAGAAAAGUCAUAUAUAUAGCACUCUUAGGGUUGAAAAAAGGUUACAAGGAUGAAAAAAAACUCAUUGUCUUCCUCAAUCUCUUCAUCUUUGUAACAUUCAAAAUUAAAUCAUAUGUUUAAUUCACACAUUAAACAUGAUUUAAUCUCAAAUGUGUAACUCUCUUACACUUAACCUCUUAAGUUUAUAAAGUUAUAAAGAUGAGAAGACUCAUUGUCUUCCUCAACCUCUUCAUCUUUGUAACAUUCAAAAUUAAAUCAUAUGUUUAAUUCACACAUUAAACAUGAUUUAAUCUCAAAUGUGUAACUCUCUUACACUUAACCUCUUAAGUUUAUAAAGUUACAAAGAUGAGAAGACUCAUUGUCUUCCUCAACCUUUCAAGUUUUGUAACAUUUCAAAACUUAAUCAUGUGUUUAAUUCACACAUUAAAAGUGUAACCCUUCUUACACUUUAUUUUCCAAAAGUUAUUUUCAAAAGUGUAACUCUUCUUACACUUUAUUUUUUUUAACCAACAAUAUAUAUAUAUAUAUAUUUAUAUAAAUAUAACAAUCCCCCACUUGGUUAAAAAUAAACAUAAACCCUUAUAACCUUAACAGUGAAAAUGCAUAAAAUAAAAUAUCUUUCGAUUUGAAUUUUACCUUAGUGUAAUUGUCACAAAGCUCCGUUGAAAUCCCAGGUUGCUUGUAGCAUUGAACCAGUUAUUCCUUGUAACGAAACCGAUAACAACACACACACUUCCACUAACCACACGAGUGCCCAUUAUUUUCUUGCUUAGCACUUUUAUGGCCAUGUGCUCAAUCCAUUCAUGAACUUUCUUGAAAGAAACUCCAACUCUCAUGAGAGGCGGCACCACCCCUAAGUUCACAUAGGUGAAAUUCUUCCAGCAUCCUUGUUACCUUUAAGAUGUUUGUCACACAUAGACUGAAUUUCAUUAAAAGCUUUAAGCUUAACCCUCCAACGGUAACAACCAGCAUUAAUCAUCACAGAUGGAACUCACAUGUUCUAAUGCUGCCACAACCCACUUAUCAAUGACUUGUUUUUACCCAUUGAACUUAAGACUAGUCAUUUCGUAGUAUUAAGUUGGGUUACCAUCAUUGGUGAGUUUUAUUUAAGGAGUUUUAGUCCCAUCCCUCUAGAUGUUAUCCUUACUAAAUCUCUUGUAAGAGGUUUAGUAAAAGGAUCCGCCAAGUUUCCACUUGACCUCACAAAUGAGAUUGAGAUGAUUCCAUUUUCAAUCAAUUGUCUUACAUAUUCAUGUCUAAUGCUUAUAAGUCUAGACUUCCCAUUGUACACUCCACUGUACGCACGAGCUAGAAUGGCUUGAUUGUCACAAUGUAUCGACACUGUUGACACAUUAUUUGCAGUAAAAGGGAUGUCCAUCAUGAGAUCCCUAAGCCACUUAGCUUCUUUUCCAGUUGCAGCUAGAGCUAUAAACUCUGCCUCCAUGGUUGAGUGUGAUAUACAAGUCUGUUUCUUGGAUCCCCAAGAGACAGCCCCACCACCAAGUGUAAACACCCAACCUGUGGUAGAUAAAUUAUCUCCCACACUCGAUAUCCAGCUUGCAUCUGAAUACCCUUCAAUUAUAGCAGGAAACUUUGAAUAUUGGAGGCUUAGUUCUUUGGUAUUCUUUAGGUAACCAGGAACUCUACCAAUAGCUUUCCAAUGGUCCACGCUUGGAUUGCUAGUAAACCUACUUAGUUUACUAACUGCAAAUGAAAUGUCAGCCCUAGUACAGUGAGCAGCAUACAUAAGACUUCCAAUUGCACUUGCAUACUCAAGUUGAGCCACCGAUCUACCAUCAUUCUUUUCAAGUUUUAUACUUGAAUCAAAUGGAGUAUUAGCAUCUUUAAUCUUGAGAUGACUAAAUUUGCUAACUACUUUCUCAAUAUAGUGGGUUUGGUUCAAAGCAUAACCCCCACUAUUUCUUUUCACUUUGAUACCCAAUAUAGUAUCAACUUCUCCAAGAUCUUUCAUCUUGAAGGUUGAGGAUAGAAACCUUUUCGUUUCUAUUAUUCCUCUCAUGUCAUCACUCAAGAUUAACAUGUCAUCCACAUAUAGACACACUAUGACCAUAUAGUCAUCACAAGUCUUAGAAUAUAAGCACUUGUCCACAUUGUUGUGUCUAAAUCCAUCCAAAAGAAUAGCAUGAUCAAAUUUUUCGUGCCAUUGUUUGGGAGCUUGUUUUAAACCAUAUAAUGAUUUGACAAGCUUACACACUUUGUUUUCAUUCCCCAGUAGAACAAAACCUUCCGGUUGUUCCAUGUAGACCUCCUCAUUGAGAUCCCCAUUCAAGAAUGCCGUUUUGACAUCCAUUUGAUGAACAAAUAGAUUAUGAAUUGAUGUCAAAGCAAACAAUAUCCUAAUCGAUGUUGUUCUAGCCACCGGCGCAUAGGUAUCAAAAUAAUCAAUACUUUCUCUUUGUUUAAACCCCUUAGCUACUAAUCUAGCCUUCAAGGUUUGAAUCAUGCCAUCGGUGUGAUAUUUCCUUCGAAAUACCCACUUGCACCCUAUUGGUUUAGAUCCUGGUGGAAGGUCUACCAAUUCCCAUGUUUGGUUGGACAUAAUUGAAUCCAUUUCAUCAUUGAUAGCCUCUUUCCAAAAAGCAACAUCUCUAGAAGCCAUAGCUUCUUUGUAUGUUUUGGGAUCCUCCUCUAUUUGAAGUACUAUAGGAAUUUUUCUUAUAAUCUCUUCUCUAUUUCCUUCUACUAAGUAAAAGGAAAUUCUUUGAGAGUCAAUCUCAUCUGAUCCCAACACUUUCUCUUUUCUAGCUCUUUGGCUUUUCCGAGGCACAAUGGGUUGUUCAACAACCUUUGAAGGUGUCUCCUCUUGAGACUCUCCAACACUAGUAGGUACUUGAGAAUUGCUAUCACUCAACAAAUUCUCAAAGAACUCUACCUCUCUUGAUUCAAUUAUCACAUUAGACUCCAAGUCUAAUAGCCUAUAAGCUUUGCUAUUUGAGGCAUAGCCUACAAAUGCACAAUGGCUCUUGGACCCAAUUUUGUUUUAUUUGGAUCCGUUUUCUUGCAAUAAGCAAGACACCCCCACACUUUGAAGUAACCUAUAUUAGGCUUCCUUCCUUUCCAUAACUCAUAUGGAGAUAUCUCAUUUUUCUUCAUAGGAAUUCUAUUCAAAAUAUAGCAAGCAGUCAACAAAGCUUCACCCCACAAAUUGAAAUUCAAUUUAGCAUGCAAUAACAUAACAUUCACCAUUUCCAAAAAUGUUCUAUUCUUUCUCUCCGCUAUGCCAUUGUGUUGAGGUGUAUAGGGUGCGGUGCACUCAUGUAUUAUGCCAUAUUCUUCACAAAAAUAAUUGAAUUCAUUAGAGAAAUAUUCACCACCUCUAUCACUUCUAAGCACCUUAAUAUUUUUUCCUAGUUGAUUUUCAACUUCGGCUUUGUAAACUUUAAAGGCAUUGAAAGUUUCACUUUUGUUUUUCAACAAAAACACAUAGGUAAAUCUAGAACAAUCAUCUAUGAAUGUAAGAAAAUACCUAUUUCCACCUCUUGUUAACAUGCCAUUAAGUUCACAAAGAUCACUAUGUAUUAAAUCAAGCAAAUUAGAUGAUCUCUCAACACUAUGAAAAGGUUUUUUAAUCAUCUUUGAUUUAACACAUAUUUCACACUUUUCAAAUUUCUUGGUAUCACAAGCAAUCAAACCACAUUUCACAAUCCUUUUAAUAGUGCUUAAACCAACAAGUGCAAGCCUAUUAUGCCACAAAAUUAAAGAAUUUGAAUCACACAUAUAAGCGGAAGUAGACGUCAUUUUAUUGAUAUUGUCAUUGGUACUAAGUUUGAUCAUCCCAUCACAAGAAUACCCCUUUCCCACAAAGUUCCCCGAUUUGGUUAAAAUUAGCUUACCGGAUUCAAACACCGCUUUGAUACCCGGUUUGCCAAGCAAAUCCCCACUAACCAAAUUUUUAUUCAUAUCGGGGACAUACAAUACAUUUUUAAGGGUAACCUUUUUGCCGGAGGUAAAAACAACUUCAAUAGUGCCCUUGCCAAGCACCUUGGAUUUUCCUUCAUUGCCCAUUUGAACCUCUUGAUCUCCCUUUGCAUCUUCAAAGGUCUUGAAAAGAGAUUUGUCAUAGGUAACAUGAACUGUGGCACAAGUAUCAUACCACCAUCCUUGCACCUUUCCUUGGACAACACACACAUCGCUUAGUGUUGCAAUGAUCUCCUCAUCAAUUACAUUCACCACAGCCCCUUUUUGGUCCUUUCGGAACCUACACUCCUUAGCAUAAUGCCCGGGUUUUCCACACACAAAACAAGGACCUUUCUUGCCCUUAAAUUGCUCUUGAUUUUUCUUGGGGCUCAUAUAAUUUCCGGAAUUCUUUUUGUUGUUGUUAUUUUUACCUCUAGGAUGAUUGGCCUUUGAAAUCGCAUUGGCUUUGUUAGUCCCACCAUUGGACUCUUCCACCAUUUUGUCUCUUGAUCUCGAUUCUUCCUCAAUGCGAAGAUGUUUUUGAAUCUCUUCCAAGGAGUAAUCUUCACUCUUGUGGAGAAUCCUAUUUCGGUAACCUUUCCAACUUGAUGGUAAUUUAGCCACAAUAGCACCAACUUGGAAGGCCUCCGGAAGUUCAAUUUUGAGAACUUUCAACUUAUUCACAAUUACUUGCAACUCAUGAAUUUGUGGUAAGAGAGGCUUUUCAUCAAAAAAUUUGAAAUCUAUGUAUUGAGAAAUAAGAAACUUUUUGGUACCUUCUUCCUCGGCUUUGUACUUGUUUUCAAGAGCCUCCCAAAUCUCCCUCGCGGAAUUGGUGUUGGUGUAGAGAUCAUAUAGCCUAUCGGAUAAGGCGUUCAAAAUAUGACCCCUACAUAUGAGCUCAUCCUCCUCCCUCUUCUUCCUUGCCGCCACCACUUGAGGUGUGUCAUUUUCCUUUGGUUCUGGUAAUGGUGCCAAGGUAGGAUCAAGGAUGUAGAAAAUCUUGAGUGCUGUGAGAAGGAAUCUCACCUUGUCUUGCCACCUAGUGAAGUUGGAACCAUCAAAACGAUCCAACCUCACAAAGUCUUGGUUCAUAAUCUUGAUAGUCUCUCCCUCCAUUGAGAAUAGAGUCUUUGAUUGUUGAAAAAAUUUGGAUACAAUGGAGAAAGGAAACACUCUCACACACUCACUUUGAUACAAUAAAACUCUCUUAGAUACAAAAUAAGAACAAGAAGAAGAAGAACACAAGAAAGGCUCAAACAAGUUCUUGGAACUUUGUCCAAAGACUCUAUUUCCUCCCACCUCUAGAAAUCUUUUGGGAACUAAAUGGAAAUAGUCUUGGGAUUGAUCAAGCCUUUUCACUUUUCUGCAUGAGAUUUCAAAAAGAAGAAAAGUCAUAUAUAUAGCACUCUUAGGGUUGAAAAAAGGUUACAAGGAUGAAAAAAAACUCAUUGUCUUCCUCAAUCUCUUCAUCUUUGUAACAUUCAAAAUUAAAUCAUAUGUUUAAUUCACACAUUAAACAUGAUUUAAUCUCAAAUGUGUAACUCUCUUACACUUAACCUCUUAAGUUUAUAAAGUUAUAAAGAUGAGAAGACUCAUUGUCUUCCUCAACCUCUUCAUCUUUGUAACAUUCAAAAUUAAAUCAUAUGUUUAAUUCACACAUUAAACAUGAUUUAAUCUCAAAUGUGUAACUCUCUUACACUUAACCUCUUAAGUUUAUAAAGUUACAAAGAUGAGAAGACUCAUUGUCUUCCUCAACCUUUCAAGUUUUGUAACAUUUCAAAACUUAAUCAUGUGUUUAAUUCACACAUUAAAAGUGUAACCCUUCUUACACUUUAUUUUCCAAAAGUUAUUUUCAAAAGUGUAACUCUUCUUACACUUUAUUUUUUUUAACCAACAAUAUAUAUAUAUAUAUAUAUAUAUAUAUAUAUAUAUAUAUAUAUAUUUAUAUAAAUAUAACACGUACAGCAUAAGAGGGUAAAGAAACAAAACCUCUCAUACCUUUUCCACCCCCGUAGUUUUCAGCAAGAAUAUUACACUAACCAGAUCAAAUGGUGUCUUAAACUGCGGGGUUCUACAAGAUAUAUCAAAGAGUGUUGUAGCUGUGUACACGCUCAAAGGUAUCCAUUCAAGUCUUUUGCCAAUGUUAAUAGUAUUAAAUUUGGAGUACUCAUUUCUAACUGGGAUUUGUGAAUAUAUAUGGUAAUCAGGCGCCCAUUGCUUGGAUUUACGGGCUUCAAUGCCCAAUGACCCUGACUGCUUGGUGGCACAGCGAGACAAAGAGAUCAAAAUCGUGGCAUUAUGGUUAGCAAAAUACAACGGCAAGCGUCUUAGUAAUUAAGACUCAGAAGAAUUGAGCUUAUAUAUGAAUAUAAUUUAUACUAUAUUAUAUAGAAACAAUAAUAUUUAUUUCAUUUAUUUCUAUUUUAGAUUUUUAAGAAGAAUUAUCAAAUUAACAUGGUUUUUUUUUUUUUUUGGAAUUUUGUUCCCUUUAAACUUUAAAUUUAGGAAUAAAUAUACAACAAAAGGUUUCUUAAAAAUAUUGUCAAUAGGUUUUGAAUUAUAUAAUCUAAUCAACUCAACAAAUUCAAACUUGAUUCAACCAACCUAAUUUCAAUCUAAAUUUAGAAAAAAUGAGAUUAAGUUGAACUUGAGUUGAGUAUUUUUGGUUGAAUUGAAGUUGGAUUGUUUGUUUCUUAAUAUGAAGUAUGCUUAAGGCCAAAACCCAAUUCAACCCACUUUCGUUGCAACCUUAAUUCAAUUGAAUUUUUAACAAUAUAAAAUAUUCUUAUUUUAAUAGAAUUAUUUUUAAAUUAUAAUUUCAAAUAUAAAAUUUAAUUAUGCACUUAUCCUAUCUAUUUUUUAUUUUUUAUUUUUUUUCUAUUUUGAAAAAGCCUAAAUUAAGAGUAUUUUUGGAAGCUAUUUUUAAAAGUAAGUUUUUAUUCUUAAAAUAGAAAAUUGUUUUAUAGAUUCAAAAAUACAUUUGGUAAUCUAUUUUAUCUUUUCCUUAAAAACCUCCAAAAAAAUUUUAAUGAAAAUUUCUUUUCUCUAAGAAUUAUUUUAAAACAUUUUGAACUUUUUUCUUAUUCUAUUAUUUAAAUUAAAAAGAAUAAGAAUUUUAUUUAUAUUUUUUAUUAUUGAAAUUAAUGAUUUUUUUUAGUAAAAUUGGUAAUUGACUUUUUAAAAAUUUUUGAAAGUUUUUUAUUAUUCUAAUUUUUUUAAUUAUAAAACUAAUAAGAUAUAUUGUAAUUAUUGAUAUUGAAAUUAAUGGAUUUUUAAAAUAUAAGUUCUUACUAAUAUCUUCAAAAAAAAAUUAUUGAUUUAUUUAAGAAUUACCAAAAUUAAUAAGAUUUAUUCUCUAGUUUUGUUCUGAUAAGAUUUAUAAAUUUAUUUUAAAAAAAAAAAAAUUGUUUCCUCUAAUAUUUUACUAUAAUAAUUUAUGUUAUAGAUCAUGCGUUUAAUAUAUUUAACAUCUUACAAUGAAAUUUAAAUGAUUUAUUAAUUAAAAAUAAAAUUAUAAUUUAAAAUGUUAUAUAUAUAUAUAAUUUUAGUUUAAAAACUUUUUGUUUGAUUUAUAUUAUUAAACUUGUACGCCAUGGCUUCACUUUUUAGUUUCAUUAUUGGUUGUUUGAAACUUGUUAUAAAAGGAGGGUGUCUCAUAAUAUAUUUUAAUUAUUUUAAAUUUUUUGUCUUAAAAAAUAAUUAUACAAAUAAGAAGAAUGAUUAAAUAUAAAUAAAAUUUAUUUUUAAGAAAUGUUUAGAAAUAUAGAUAAAAUAUUCCAAAUUAUUUUGGUUACCAUAAAAUUAAGGUAGAGAAAAGACGGAAUCAUAAUUCAAAGGUGUAGUGUCUGAAGUUAAAUAUUAGUUUCUCAUUCAAUAGCAGAGGGAUUUACCUUAAUUUGCUCCAAUUAUUUCUGUUCAAAAAUUUUGAUAGUUGUUGACUUACGCGGAAGGGUUUGAAGUCAUUGUUUGAAAGAACUAUCAAAAAAAAUUUAUUCUCCCUUUCGUGGUUGUAGGCAAAUUGCAGUGUCUAAUCACGUUACAUCUCUGUGUCAUCUUCUUCUUUUAUUUCUUUGCUUUUAAUUUGUUAUUCUAUUUUCUUUUUUAAAUUUUAUAGGUUGGACCAUCAAAUUUUCUAUAGAAACUCGAAAAGGGUUAGUUUUAUUGUCAAUUCUAUUGCACCAAUCUUUCCAAAAUAUGAGAUGGUCCAAUCCAAACAGACGUGACAUCUUAAUUUUAAUUUAAUUUAUUUCUUUAAUCAAAAUUAUUUUUGAGGACUAGGUCGCAUCUCUUAAAUGAAGAAAAAGAUGUUUGGUGAUAGAUAACAUCUUAUCCCUCCGAUAUAUAGAUUUUUAUAAAUAAAAAAAAUGUGAAAAAUAAAAUAUUAAUCAUACAAUUCAUAUAAUUUGUAUAAUCUUAUCAAAUAAUAAAUUAUAAUUUAAUACGAAUAAACAACUUUUUAUUAUAAUUUGCAUCUAAAUAAUUGAUUGAUCCUAAACUUGAGAUUGCAUGCUAAGACCGACCUACCACGGAAGACUAAUUAACUUCUUAGCAUUAAUGACGGAUGAUGAUGGUUUUGUGGAAAAUUAAAGGGAGAAUUAUCUUUUGGGGGUAGAUGGACCCCCAAAUUAACAAAAAGUUCAUAUAACUCUUCAAAUUGAGUUGAAGGAUAUGAAAUAGUAACAGACAAAUAUACCCUUUAAGAACACAUAUAAAAUAUUUUAUAAAAUUAAGUUAAAUAAUUUUUUUUUAAUAAUUUUUUUUUCAAAAAUACUAAAUUAAAUAAAAGUAGUUUUCAAAAAUAGUAAAUUAAAUAAUUUUUUUUCUCAAAAAUAUUAAAUUAUUUUUUUUUCAAAAAUAUUAAAUUAAAUUAAAGUAUUUAAAAAAAAUUAAAUUAAAGUAUUUUUAAAAAAAUAUUAAAUUAAAUAAAUUUAUUUUAAAAAAAUAUUAAAUUAAAUAAAUUUAUUUUUUAAAAAUAUUAAAUUAGAUAAAAUUAUUUAAAAAAAUAUUAAAUUACAUAAAAGUAUUUUUAAAAAAUAUUAAAUUAAAUAAAAGUAUUUUUCAAAAAUAUUAAUUUUUUUUUCUCAAAAUCAACAAAGGGCAUUUUUGGAAAUACUGAAGGAUGAUAUCCUUCAACUCAAUUUUCAUACUUUCAUUGGGUCUUAAACUCAAUUUGAAGAGUUACAUGGACUUUUUGUUAAUUUGGGGCUCAUCUACCCCAAAAGAUAAUUCUCCCAAAAUUAAAUAGAUUGGAUCCAAAUAGAUUUUUCCACACAAAAUGAUGUGGAACCAUCUUUACGUGUCAUUGAAGAAAUUGUUCAAUUAUUAGAUUAUAUUGAGUUCCUUAGAAAAAAUUAUAUUUUCAUAUUUGGUUUUAUAAUUACAAAAAAACAAGAAAAUCAUAUAUUAAAAUUAGUUAAAAUUUUAUAUAUUUUAAAAUUAUUUAUCUUUGAUAUAAAAAAAAUUGAAAUGACAUAUAAAAAUAAAGUAUGAUUUUAAAUUUAUUUUAUUUAUUUUUUUACUUUUUAUCUCUAUUUUCUUUUCCUGAUUUGUUUGUUUUUUGUUUUUUGUUUUUUUUUUUUCAAAUUCUCUUGGAAACAAACAAAACCUUAUUAUUUUGUGAUUUUAAAGAUGCAAAUUUCAGUAUUCAAUUUUCAUUUUUCAAAUUCAAUUUAAUUAAUUUUAUGGUAUAUAAAUAUGCAGAUGGUAUAGCAUGUAGAGAUUACAGUGAAAUCCCAAAAACAUUUUGUUCACCGUACUGCCAUGAACUCGUCCUCUCCUAAGGUUUCACUGCAAUGGCUUAUUUCAAUAUUGGUCCUUGUGAUCUUCUUCUGUGCUACUUGUGUAAGUGCAACACAGCCUAAAAUAUUGCCCAAGCUGAGUGUGCUGGGACGAACAUUUCUGAGAGAGCCUGCAACAUUUUCUGAAUCGAAUUCUCAAGACUUUCAAACUUUUUACUACAACCAAACAUUAGAUCACUUCAACUACAGGCCAGAAAGCUACACAACUUUCCAACACAGAUAUGUGAUGAAUUUUAAGUACUGGGGUGGUGCAAAUGCUAGUGCUCCCAUAUUUGCUUAUCUGGGUGCAGAAGAAGACCUGGAUUAUCUUGUCUGGUCUAGGAUUUCUCACAGAUAACGCUCAUCGGUUUAAGGCUCUUCUGGUGUAUAUUGAGGUUAGUAUAUUUGGGAACUAAAUGUUUAGAGGCCUUCUCACCGUUUCCUUUUAACUGUUCAGUUACAUUUAUUUUAAUAUCAGGUUUAAUGGCUCAAGUGCUUUUACAUAAAUUCAGCAUAGGUACUGUGGGAAAUCUAUUCCAUUUGGAUCAAGAGAAGAGGCCUUAAAAAAUGCAAGCAUUCGAGGGUAUUUCAACUCCGCCCAAGCUAUUGCAGAUUAUGCAGAGGUGCUUAUAUACAUAAAGAAGAAAUUGCUUGCUGAGAAUUCCCCGGUCAUCGUGGUCGGAGGUUCUUAUGGGGGAAGUAAGUUACCAUAUCAAAGUUCUUAAUCUCAAUGUUAUUCAUAACAUGUCCUUAAACUCCGUUUCUAUCUCUCUUUUCCUGAUUCCAGUGCUUGCCUCAUGGUUCCGGCUAAAAUAUCCCCAUGUUGCCCUUGGAGUUCUGGCCUCUUCUGCUCCCAUACUCUAUUUUGAGGACAUUACUCCCCAAAAUGGAUACUAUUCUAUUGUCACCAAGGAUUUCAGGGUACUGUCCCUCAAUUUCUUUCUUUCUUCGUACCUAUGAGCUUUGGAGUUCAAAAAAAUUUGAAAGCCAUAUGGAUUGGUUAUUUUUAACUGCAGGAAGCUAGUGAGAGUUGCUACAAAACUAUACGAGAAUCAUGGUCUGAAAUCGAUAGAGUUGCUUCUGAGCCCAAUGGCAUUUCAAUCCUUAGCAAAAAAUUCAGAACUUGCGAGUAAAUAACUAUUGAUCAUCUUCUUUCCUUGUUCUCAUUCACAGAUUCAGAAGCUAAGACUUAAUCCGAGACUCAAUAAUUUUUUCCUCUGUUAUUGUAGUCGAUUAAAUAAUUCUGAUGAGCUCAAGGACUACUUGGAUACGAUAUAUUGUACUGCAGCUCAAUAUAAUGAUCCACCGAUGUACCCCGUUACUAUGGCAUGCAGUGGGAUUGAUGGAGCACCAGAAGGAAGCGAUAUUCUAAGUCGUAUAUUUGCAGGUGUGGUUGCCUAUGGAGGAAAUAGCUCUUGUUAUACCACAAGUCAUAAUCCAACUGAAACAAGUGAGGGAUGGGCAUGGCAGGUAACCACAUACUCCUAUGAUAACAAAAUUAUAAGGACAGUUCAUAAACUACUUAGGAAAAUUGCAUAGAGAAGACAUUGGCCUAAAGAGAUUAAAUUUUAUAUGUUCCAUUGUACUAAUCCUUUGGCUGCUCUCUGUGCGCAUGCAGACAUGCAGUGAGAUGGUAAUGCCAAUAGGGCGUGGUGACAAUGACACCAUGUUUCCACCGGCGCCUUUCAAUCUAACCACCUUCAUCCAGGAAUGCACAAGCAUCUAUGGCGUCUCGCCUCGGCCUCAUUGGGUUACAACUUAUUAUGGAGGCCAUGUACUUGUGUUUUUUAAGUACACCUUUCAAAUAUAUCAAGCUCUUCUAAUUUCAAAAUAGUCACUCUACAAUUUUUAUGCCAAUUGCAGAAUAUAGAAUUGAUCCUCCGUAGGUUUGCUAGCAACAUCAUCUUCUCUAACGGGCUAAGAGAUCCUUAUAGCAGCGGCGGGUAAUUGGAAGCACAUUCUUUUUGUUUUUGUUUUAGUAGGGUUAGUGUAUAUGUGUAUUCACAGGCAUAUCCCGCAAUUUGAUUGUCUGGUCUUUGAUUGUAGGGUAUUGAAGAACAUAUCCGAUUCUGUUCUUGCCAUUCUCACAGUCAAUGGUAUGUUUCUCAAUUAUGUUUUAAACCCUAUUAUUAUCUACAAGGCCAAACAUAAAAUAUCAAAGCUAUUGUAUAAGAAAGACCACACAUAUAUUAUCUAGAAUGACUCGAUCAUAGCAAAGGAAAAGAACAAAAAAUGAUAGCUAUUAUUGCCAAUUCAACCCAAUGGAAUAUGCUGUACUGGAAAGUUACAUAAUUGUUAACUAAUGGAGUUAUCAUAAGCAUCUAGAAAAAUGUUCUAAAAAUAUAGAAUAAAGUCAAUUAUUGGGGUGUCAUAAAUAUUCUAUUUUUUUGUAAAGAGAAUAAUACAAGUCUCACUUUGCAGGGUCCCACUGCUUGGAUAUACUCCCGGCGACCUCAACUGAUCCGGAAUGGUUGGUGAUGCAGAGAAAGGCCGAGGUCGAGGUCAUUGAAAGUUGGAUCGCUCAGUACUAUGCUGAUCUUCAUGCCAUAACAAAAUGAAACAACCCUACUUAAUCAUUAUAUGAACUAAUGGUGUUAUUAUAUUUGGA
This 44931-nucleotide long non-coding RNA is filed under the name Vitis vinifera (wine grape). RNAcentral describes it as "long non-coding RNA (VVIN_LNC001948)". The record is from RNAcentral. Lineage: Eukaryota; Viridiplantae; Streptophyta; Magnoliopsida; Vitales; Vitaceae.